UAACAAGCCUCUCCUCCGGGUGAUGCCUUCUUUCGGGUGGCCUUUCUGCGAUCGUCCAUGCGUGCGUGUCCAUGAAUAAAUCUCAGCUUGUCUCGGCGAGCUGGGUGCGAGUCCUUCUUUGUUUUUUGUAUGAUUAUUACCGAACCUGUGUGCACGCGUUGUUGUUUCUUGUUGGGUUCGUCCUCAGAGUUGCUGUGAGGUUUAUGGGAUUAUCCCAGUCAAUCCUUCUCUCAUGUAAAAUUUUUAUUUUCGGCAAAUCAUGAGUGUUGUAUGCGUGUUCCCUCAGUAACUCACUCGUUGUGUAUACAAUUGGACAUGCAUGUCACAUGGUGCCUGUAGUUGUGAUGUGCACGCUGUACCUCCGUGUGAUCGAGAUCGAUCGAUAUGAUCGAUGCGCCAUGUGUGCAGUGGCAGCUGACACCCGGCGCUACGCAUGCGCAAGGACCGCUGCGAGACCUGAGCAUUUCUUGGGCCGGGCUUUAAAAGGCCGAACCCCACAAAUCUAAGCCUGAGCCAUGCCCGGUCCUGAAUAAGCGAACACUAUUCUAUUUUUUUCUAUCCCCUUUUCGGGUAAUGAAUAGUACUUAUCUUCCUAUUGAAAUUAAUAUAUAUUAACACAUGAGUAUGAUUUUUAAUGAAACCUUAUUUUUAGUUUCUUAGAACCACAAUGUAGGCUCAGAAGCUCACAAUCACUAUAUAUGUGGCAAUUUCCCAAUAGAAAAAACCCAUGUGUGCCAACAUUUUUUAAGAAAGAUAUUGAUUUCCAUUUCAUUAACGAAACCCCCGCAUGUCCUUACAAGAUACAAACUACUAAAAGAGCCAUGGAGGCCUUUAUUUUGAAAAUUUAAAUAUCCUAUUUUUUCAGUUUCAGAAAAUUCUGAAAAACAUACACAUGUAUGCAAGGAUGUAAUGUGUAUGUGUGUAAAAUUUCAGUAUGAAAUUUCUUGAUUUACGAGCUGCAAUUUUUUUUAUGGACUAUGAGGAUGAACAAUACAUAUGCUAAAAAGCCCUAGAUUUGUCUUUUUUUUUCUGUAGUUCUCAUUUUAACCUAUUUUGACCGGAAAAUUUGCACACAUGUACAUUGUGUAUAUAGGUAUACGUGAAUUUGUUUUCAUAAUUUUUUGAAACUGAAAUACGGUUAAGUGUACGUACGAAUCUACAAAAUACGUACAAGGUAUUUGUAAAUGAUAAAAGUACUACAACAACAACUCAAAACAGGUGUUCGACGGUGGACCUCUUUCAUUUCGCAGGAACAUGGGAAUUAUUAAUGUACAGUAAUAUAUUUACAAUCAUGAUUGAGCAACUCAGCAACAAACAAAGGGGCCUCAAGCAGCCAAACAUUAGCCUCUACACCCGCUCCUAGCACUAGCAGCUCAUGCAAGUUGGUGAGCUGCUCUGUGUCUUCCUCUGUUUCACAAACCUGAACCGAAAUUCAGAAAGUUCAGCCGCAGUAUCUCUAACAUCAGCAAGCAGGUGUGCAUGGCGCGACCAUAAGUUGAGAGCCUGACUCCACUUGAGGCCAAACUGUUCCCGGGCAUUGCUGGGAUCUGCACAUGUUCCCGGGCAAACUGCUAUGCAAACAUGCAGGCCAAACUUCACCGGGUGGGCACGCUAGAAAAAUCGUGCUCGUGUCCACCGGCCGUAUCGAUGCGUUCGGGAGGGAGGAAGCGGCCAUCCGUCCAGUCAUCGGCGUCGCAGACCACGCGGAUUUGUUGUAGCAAUCCAUCCACCUUGCUUGGACACAAAGUUCUGUUAGCGAGCUUCCAGCGCCGUGUCCUGGAGCAACGGACGGUGGCAAUUGAAGCACGCGCAUACGUGGGAGGGAUACUACCCUACCCUACCCUACCCUACUUGCGGGUUGCGGCCUUUUCCUCUUUGAGAAGACGUGCACUCCGACUGCUGCAUCGAUCGUUGGUUGUGACUCGUGUGACCCCAUUGGCAUCGGUUCUAUAUAAGCUGGGGGUGCUCGCACAGCAGCUCCGUCACUCAUCCCACCCUGAUACCCUCGUAACAAACAAGCAGUCAUCGAUGGAGGCUCCACGCAAGCUCGUCUCCGCCGCGCUCCUCCUCGUGCUGCUGCUCGCGGCCACAGGAGAGAUGGGAGGCCCGGUGGCGGUGGCGGAAGCUCGGAAGUGCGAGUCGCUGAGCCACAGGUUCGCGGGCCUCUGCCUGCGCGGCCACAACUGCGCCAACGUCUGCCGGACCGAGGGCUUCCCCGGCGGCAAGUGCCGCGGCGCCAGCCGCCGCUGCUUCUGCACCACCCACUGCCGCUAGUAGCCUAGCUGCAUGCAUGCAUGCUGGCACCUUUGUGCGUGUACCGUGUCCGUGUCCAUGAAUAAACCUCAGCUUGUCUACUAUCUUGGCAUGCAGGCCGAGCUGGGUAUAAGAAGCAACUUCUCCUUGUGUCCGUUCGAUGUUUGGGUUCGUCCUCAAAGUUGCAGCGAGGUCCCAUGUUUCCUUUCACGUGUGUUGUGUGCGUGUAAGCGUGUUCUCCCUCUCACUUGCUCUGUACACGAAACGACGUGCAUGUCGCAUGCUACUUCCGUGUGAUCGAAAGCAUGUUUUUUUGUUUGUUUGAGAAAAGUGUGAUCGAGGCAUGUGUGCAGCAAGGAACUUGACAGCUGCCACCCGGCGCUGCUCAAUGCUCAUGCACGAUGGACUGGCCACGCGUAAAAGGUCCCGGCCUCUAGGAGUGGGAAGUUAUGGUCACGGGCACCAUGGUCCCCUUUAUUAAAAAAAAACAUAUUAAGAAGUAAAAAAAUUAUCUGUGGAAACAUGUAUGUGUGCACUACGGAUCCAUGAAAUUUUGUUUUGAAAAAAUGUAAUGUGUAAGCUGUAAAACAUAAUCUGGCCAUAUACUGAUUGACUUUGUUCCAUCGUUGAAAACCUCGUAUAUAUUCUGUAUAUUCGAUCUAAACCAUUAUGAUCGUGCGUUAAGCAAGACUUGACUUGUUGCCAUGGAGGAGAAAAGAAUUGCUUGGAGGAGUGAUUUUGCAUCUCCCUAGCUACAAACUGCAUGGGUAGUGACCCAGAUGAAGCCAAGUUGCAAGUCCGUGCAGUUAUUAUGGCCUAAUUAGUAAAGUCAAACACGAGUGUCCUAUGAGCAGAGUUCUGUAUACUGUCUGAAUAUCGCUAGGCUGUUUCUGCAAGUUACAAAGGGCAUUUUGGUUUGAGAGUUAUGCAUCGGCCCCAUGUGUGUUUCAUACUACCGUUGAUGAGGAAUCCCCACAUCAUCACACCGAGAUCAUGGUAGGGUCUUGAGCAACAUGAUGAAGGACUCAUGCCUCGGCAGAGUAAUCAAUUCGUUGAUGCGAAUUAGGUGGCUCAUGGGGCCUCUGGUUUAGCCAGUGGAGUGCCAUAAUUGAGCGUCACUGCCCUAACAGACGCAUACUGUCAGGCUCGUCAGCAACCUUCCAGAACACGAUGGGCUGGGCGUUAUGAUUACCGUUUAGGCCAGACAAGGACAAGGACGGCCUCGUUAGUAGUAGAAGACACCAACCAAGUAAUUAUACUACGUAGUAGACAGCCAUGUCUUGUGAAACUCUUAAGUAUCCACAUGCGAAAGUAAAAUGUUGUGAAAUUUUGCACAUACAUAAUAUACAUGUGACUGUGUUUACAAAAAAUUCCAAUUUUUUGGUGUUUCACCAGCGCUGGUUAAACGUGUCCCCGCACGUAAACCAACUGGGCCGGCCUAUAAUGCAUUGAAACAUUCCUGAUUUUUGUGCAGCUUUGUGGCCAAUUCUAAGAAGCUUCUAGAAGCACCGAACAAUUUUUGGGAAGCUUCUGACCGAUUUUUUUUCUUUUCUUGGUUUUUUAUUUUUAUUUUUUAUUUUCCUUUUUUCUUCAUUUUUCAUUUAAUGUAUUUUAAACUCACAUUUUCAAAAACAAUUCAAGAACUUUUUGAAAUCCAUGAGCAUUUUUCAAAUUGGUGAUUUUUUUAUAAAUCCGUGAACAUAUUUAAAAUAUUUUUCAGAUUCAUGAACUUUUCGAAAUCUGAAUUAUUUUUACAAUCAUUGUUUUUUUUAAUUUGUGAUUUUUUUAAUUCAUGACUUUUUUUCGAGCCACAAUAGUUUUUCAAAUAUGAAAAAAAACUAUCUUUAGUCCAAAAGUCAACGGUCAACCGUCCGACCAGGUCAACCAUGAAGAGUGACUAGGCGUGUGCGCUUGAUGAGCGAGCUGCUCGCUCGCAUAGCUAGCCCAGCCCACACAAGGGGGCGCGUGAGCGCUGCCUCGCUACCAAGCGCAACGAGUGCUAACUAGGAGCUUUGACGGCAAAUACCAUAGCUGGCUUCUCUCUUAGUGACGAAUUUGCACAAAAUGACCCCUUUUGAAGAAAUCUAAGCCCAAGAGGCCCCUAAUUCACCUAUGGACCCCCUCCAGGGGAGGAUUGCGGUUCAUAUAUUAACUUUGUCAGUAUUGUCACGAUUUCAUCUGCUACUUAUGUCUGCCGAUAAAAAUUGGUCCAUAUAUUGCCACAUAUAAAGUAAACUAGAUAGUAGCUCGUGCAUUGUAAUGGGGCACAAUAUUUUCUACCCAACCGUUGUGAUUUAUUGAACAUUUUAUUGUUUUAUUAUAGUUACAUACUAAAUGUCGCAAUUGAAUCAAUACUUAUUGAUUUACCAAAGAAAACAUGAUUCUAUUAGUUGCUGCAUUUUUCUAAAUCGUUUGGCUUAGAUUAGGGGGGUAGCUGCAAAUCAAACAUGUGGCAACUCUAACGAGCUUGCAAAACUGGUUGUGUGACAAAGUAUUGCAAUCUUAUUAUACCAAUUAAAUAUGUCUACAUGCAUCUAGCUGUCACCAAACCAAACACUAGCUUUUUGCCUAUGUGUUUCGUCCCUCGAAUUUUACUAUGCCACGCACGACUCAAUAUUUUUCUUUGACUUUUUUGCUGUGAUACAUAAUAAUGAUCACAAAAAUUAGCUUCAACUAUAAUGAAUUUUCACUAAAUAAGAUUGAAAGAGUGAAAAAUCACUCCCUCCUAUAUGUCUAAUCCUCACAUAUGCAACAAAUAUAGAUCGGCCUAAGUAUCAGAGCCAGGCAUUCCAAACUAAAAACAUUGAAGGAGCGUAAACAUCAAGAACCACCAUCACCCAAAAACAAAUGAAGCAAGGACUAAAACUAUAAAUUCAAGAACUUGUAGGGGCCACACGGACUGUUCGGAAAAAAAAAAUACCUUGAGAGCUGUGAUAUUUUUAAAACGAGAUCAACCAGCACUAGCCCUUAGCGGCAUAUUUUUAUGGAAGAAAAUCUGUAAGCAUCCGGCAGAGUAUACUGCUUUAGCAUAUGACAAAUCUAUUUUUUUACGGGAGCAUAUGUACAGAUCUACAAAACACACAAUAGGUGGUAGUUAAAAUUAAAAUGUAUGGCCAUAAAUGGUAAGGGUAGCACACAUCUCAAAGCUUUCCCCGACGCUGGAUUCUUUGCUGUUACCUACCGGGUGGGCACCCCAGAAAAAUCGUGUUCGUGUCCACCGGCCGUAUCGAUGCGUUUCUGAUAAACCGCUCGCCGCUCCCUACCCUUGCUAAGCUCACGGCAAUCCAGUCGUCGUCGUCGUCGUCACAGACCACGUGAGUUUUCUUGUAGCAAUCCAUGGCGUCGCCGGAUCGACCUUUGGCUCGUUGCACGUACUCCCACCGAUCUACUUGCGGCACAUAUUUGUCGCCUUUUUCAUUUGGAUGCAGCUGCAUCGCGUUCGGUUUGACCCCAUGGCUUCGGCAGCUUGUGCGUGCCGCUACAUAAGCUGGUGUGCUCUCCCAGCAGCUCCAUCACUCCACCGCCACCCUCGUACAAUGGAGGCUUCACGCAAGCUCCUCUCGGCGGCGAUCCUCCUGGUGCUGCUGCUGGCGGGCACCGGGGAGAUGGGAGGCCCGGUGGCGGUGGCGGAGGCGCGGACGUGCGAGGCGAAGAGCCACAGGUUCAGGGGCCCCUGCGUGCGCCACCGCAACUGCGCCAACGUCUGCAAGACCGAGGGCUUCCCCGGCGGCAAGUGCCGCGGCUUCCGCCAUCGCUGCUUCUGCACCACCCACUGCCGCCAGUAACCAACCCACUACCUCUACUUCGUACGUCCGCCUAGCUGCAGCCUGCCUGCGUGCAUGCUGGCUUGCUCGCACCUUCUGCGUGUAUUGUAGUACUGUGUGUGUCCAUGAAUAAACCUCGGCCUGUCUGUCAUGGCAUGCUGAGAUGGGUAUAAGAAACGCAGGUUCCCUUUUACUCUGUGUUAAUAAUCAUUCCUUGAGUCGUCGAUUUCCCCGUUGGAUAUGUGGGUUCAAAUUUUCAUUUUUGAACUGCCCACCUGAAUUUUCAUUUCAAGCCCAAGAAUGGCAAACCGACAGAUUACAGGGCUUCUACCAGUUGAGAGAAACAGGGGUCGAUGUUGCGCACUACUUCAGACAGCGCAAGGCCGCAAGGCAUAGGUCACGCAAAAUCCUGGCAUGCGGGGAAGCCGACAGAGGAGCUUUGCUACACUUACGUAAUUGUUUUACGUAAACUCUUUAGGAAAUCAACUUGGCAACUGGUGAUUGGUUAGUAGGAAAUCAUGGGGCAGGGCCUGCAGUUAAAAUCAGGGGGACGGAAGAGAAUUAGGGCUUCUUUGAUUCAUAGGACUGCAAAAUCAGGGGAAGGUUUAUGUAACAGGCUAUGAGCAAUGCUACACCUACGUACAGUUAUUUUAGACAAACCUAACUAAUUAAGGAGUACUAGUAGAAUGCCCGUGCGUUGCCACGGGCAUUUUAAAAAAUUGACCGGUUUGUCAUGAUAAUGUUCCACUGGAAAAAACAUAUGAGGUUUAUGGAUAUAUGAUAUUCCCCCGCACACGUGGUGAUUAUGCCAAUAUUAUGACUCUGGCAAACCUCAAAAAAAAAAUUAUUGUGACACUAGCAGAAUCCACGCACUAAACAUGUGAUGGUGACCGGGCUUGGUUAGCGGUUGAAACGUCCUACGUUUAAGAAAUGUUUACUCAAAACAGAUAGUUCCGGGGAUAAUUUAUUUGAAGGAAAAGGAGCUAUUUGGGUACAACCCAAAUUACCGCAUACAUUUUAGGGAACAAAUUUCAUCAACUCCCCAUCUAAAAUAGAUGGACUUCUUAUUGGGGGUAGAUAGAGUUGCAGAAUAAUAGAAAACGAUGUUAUAUAUACUCCAUGAUGGACUUUCUUAUUAUAGCCAUAAUUCUGUGAAGCAAAUAGUGAAGACUCAAUAGCAUGAAGUUAUUCCUUUUAAAAGGUAAGUCACAUAACACCUAUAAAUCUAUUUUUCCUUCCUCUUGGACACACAAUAAACCGUGUCAUUCUAUAUAGAGGAAAUAAACUAAUAACUACAAACAAUAGCCUUCUACUUUGCGCAACAAUCAGUAUAAAUAUAUUUUUAUGACAUUGUGCUAACGGGAUCUAGGGGGUGGCUGCCCCGCCCAUGCGUCGCCGUAACUUGGAGGUUGCGGUAAAUUGAUAGUCUUGGAAGAGUGGGCUUGGUCAAGUCGGUCAUGUAGUAGCAGUAGCACAUGCAUAAAAGUUUCAGGCGAUAUUUCCAUUUUUAGUGAAAUGAAAGUAGAGAAGGAUAAGCUAAGGCCAUGUAUGCACAACCAACAUAUGAAAGACCAAUGUACUAUAGCCGGACAUCAUUUCAGUUCAUAGAUAAUCAGUGAACAAGAGGGCAUCAAUUUAGUUCAAAACCAACCUUCUAUAUAAAUUCAUGCUAAUUGAAAGGGUAAAACUACUAACCCAUCUCCAGUAAUUCUACAGCCAGAGAAAGUUAGAACAUAACUGCUCAUUAUAAAUUCUAGAAAUGAUUUUCAUCACUAUUCCAUGUUACAAAAAAUACCCCCACCCAAAGGUUAAAACCUAAGAGAGAAAAAAAAUGUAUUUCAGAGUUCAUGUAAUAUCCAGAAAAUAUUGAGCAUCAACUGAUCCACACAUAUUGCAACCUAGAGAAAAUGGCUAUCUGAAUUUCUAAGAACUUAUGAAUGCUUAAUAAAAUCAAUUAGCUUUAGGAGAAACAUACUCAAACACUAUCUGAGUCAACUGUUACUUAUUAUUCCCUAUUAUGACUUUUUAUGCUACCACUACAACCUAAAACAGUAAAUCAUAUAACAGCAAAUUGAGGUACAUCCAAGUGGAUCGGACCCUGAUUAUUCUAUGUACAAAGGAUCACCAAUUGGUAUCUUAUACAUAUAUAAAGAUUGAUCCGCAUAUUGAAUUUAGUAUUAUCAGAAGAAUAUGCAAUUGAUGCACAUAACUAUUGCUUGUGCUUAAAAAAAUACAAAUUGGCAAUGUGGAUGCAAAACUGCAACCAAUGGUAUAAAAUGAGCUAUUCUGCUUCCGCUCGUUAGAUUUUCAAAGAUGAUUUAAUGAGUGGCAAGCACAAACAAUAGUUUCCACUGCAAAUAACCCCCAAAACAAAAAGGAAACAAGCUAGUGUGGAAUGGGUAAUACACCAGCGACCACUAUUGCACUAAUUGACGAUAAAUAGAUAUAGAAGGUGGAGGGAUAAAUGUCUCAAUGGCUUUAAAACAUGAAAAUUCUUUAGACGAACUUGUAAGCAGGACUCACCUGUUCACACCUUCAGCACCAGAUUCAAGCAAGAAUAAACAUACACACACAUAUGGAGUCUCAUAUUCCAACUAUAGAAUGGAUCCAUAACUGCAUAUUUCCUAAUAAAAUCAUCAAAUAAUGUUUAAUUAGCAUAGCCAUCUUGUAUAUAUGGCUUUACUCUGGAGAUAAAAUUAUUAAUAUCUGCUAGAUACAAUAAUGUUCUAGACAUCGCUGUGAGCAAAAAAUAUGGGUCUCCAAAUCUGAACUACCAAUAUUAGCCCAACAGAUUAGGAAAUCUGCUCCUACAUGCAUGCAUGAUAGACCAUCGAUCUUAUCUUCAUCAACGAAAAGGAAAAGAAUGAGAAUAAAACAAAUUGUAGUGACUGUGGGUACGAACAUUUUCAGCAAUCAGCAGUCAUGCAUUUAAAAUGUCUGAGAUGCUUCCGAUUCCCCCACCAAUUGAAACACCCUGAUAAAAGCUCUAAUCAGAUCCAGCGACUCGACAAAAAUACAAAAAAGGAAAAGAGCUUCCACUAAAAGCAAUUGGUACCGUUCUUUCCUUCUUCUUAUUUUCCGAAGGCAACCAAUUUUGAUCUCUCAAAGCUUCAUCAGCUGCACAUAGAGCAUAUAUGCUAUAAAUCCCAUUCUUUCAUUCUUCUGAUUUUCCGAAGGCAGACAAUUUGCAUCCCUAAAAGACUCAUCAGCUGCACAUAGAGCAUAUGCUAUAAAUCCCGAUAUAGAUCUACUGUCAUGGAAACAAAAAUGUUCAAUAACCAAUUCGAAAUAUGAAACAAAGUUUAACUAUGAGACAUAAAACAUCACCAGUUACAUAUUAGUCAUAUGAUAGCAUCUCAUCAGAACAUAACAGAUUUCCAAUUGUAGAAGAGAGACAAUCGGUCUACCACAAUGAACGUGUAAAUAAUAACUUCUAUCUACUUAAAUCAUUCUAUCUACUUAAAUCAUAGAGAUACCUGGCAGAAGAAACGCCAAAAAUAGGUCCAACAAAGUGUUGUGGCAUUGUAGAUUGUUACUCCAAAUGGCACUGAAGAUAAGGGUCCUUAUAUCAGUACCAGUUAUCACAUGACAGUAUUGCAGCAUUGUCUACGGGAAAGCAUGUAUAGUAUGCUGAAACAUAACAACCUUAUUUAAAUUUCUCUUGAGCGGCUUAUACAUGAAAUCCAAGAAUGCACCGAUACAGAUACAUGUACUAGUAUAAGGCUGAUAAGGAUACGUAAAUUCGCCAUUUCCUAAAAGCACCAAUAUGGGGAUACACUUUUUUUAGUUCACAAAAAAUAUAUCAUCACCAUGAGCUAAUUAAAAUUCAGUUCAUUGAAUCAGUACACAACUUCAUCAGCAUUUUGUGCAUAACAUUCCCAUCAGCGAGGGUGAGUUACCGAGCAUGGCAUAGAGCAGGGCGACCUCGGCAGGUGUGGGCAGAGUGCUGACCAGUCCGGUCAGAUCUGCCAACAUCCCGAGCUCCACCAUGGCAGGCAACUCAAAGUCUCGGCCUUUGGCGAGAGAACAAACACAACCAGUAGUCAACAAGAUGAGAAGAAGCAAGAAAUCAUGCUGGAUCAAAAGGAUGUCAAGUAGCAAUUCAUAUAUGAUAAAUCACAAGUGGAACAAUCAUGUGCAGAAAAGGGAACAACAAUCCAAUCUCACAGCUACAGUGCGAAAACCAAUUUAUACCGGAUAGUUAGGCCUCGUGUCCAGGCCUCCUCGUCGAAGAAAUACAUGGGAGUGACAACUACGAAACUAAAGCAAAACAACACAGAAGAAACGUACCCAUGAGAAUAGAAAAAUAACUAAAAUAAUAAUAAUUGGAAGAGAAUGAAUGGAGUUACCGUCAGCCAGCUAAGGUCGUGAUCAUUAGUUUCCUUUUAUUUUGAGGGAUUGAUUGUUUCUUUCCUACCCAGGCAAACAUAUAACUAAUAAUAUAUAUGCUGUGAAAGAAAAAUAAGAUAUAGAGUAGCCUUAGAAAUACUUCUCUUUUCCUACUUAAGUGAUGGUGUACGAGCAUGAAUUAAAUCUAAUUUUGAGGGGUUGCAUACGAGAUUGUAUUGAAUAAUUCAUAUGAUAGCAAAAAAAUGCUUCCAUCCGGAUCUUUCACACCCAAUAAUUAUUUGUCUUAUCCUUUAUAACAUAUUGUAUAUCUAUUUCCCACAUUAAUAUCUAUUUCCCUAGCACUACAUGACCAUCAGGUAAUGUAGGUGCUGAACAUUACGACUGAUAAGCUUCUUGUCAGCAAAAACGCUUUAAAAGUCAACGCUGAAAAGAUAGUACAUCUACUGGAAGCAACAAGAAUGCAGCACACAAUUACAUACAUAUAUCAUUUAUAAAUGUAAUCUUCGUUCCUACUUAACAAUGAAACUGGCAGCGGGGAUGCAUAAUAUAAACCCAGAUGCAAUAAUUGAUGUCUAUAUUUUACUGGGUGAUGGGAACAUGUAGGCUGCAUCAUACGAAUCCAUAAGCAAUUGGAAUUUUGCAAGGAGGCAAACAAAUCGCUAUGUGAGAACGACUCUUUCCUCGAUAAUGGCUGUUUUUAUGUUUCGAACAAAACAACGACAAAGCUUAUGAGACUUUGUUUGGUCUGAUCCUAUGAGAGAGUGUAAGCCCUGCCCAAAUUGAACAACACUACAGAGGACUAAAAAACAGAGUGCAAAUUCAGGAGGACUAAACCAUUACAUACCCGGUGGCCGUUCACAUCGACUACCUUAGUCCUGCGUCGUUCUCCAACAGCACAUCGUCCAUGGCCAUGCCCUCACACAAGGUCGUCCAGCGCAACAGCGAUGCCCGCGGCACACGUUCUUCCAGUUUACGCUCCCCACAUGCCGCAAAAGACCAACGAAACACAUCCGUGCACAAAUCAUUCAACAAGGUGGCCCAAAUCAGUGCCAAUUCAAGGCCAGCAGUAGCAAAAAUCAUGUACAUAAUGACAAUUUCAAAAGGAAAGAUCAGGCAUAUAUAUAUAAAAGAAACACUAAUAGACAUGAUUUUGAGGAAUCCAAGAAUCUGGUAAAAGUUAAAUGUCAAAUGUAUAGGGAAUAUUAGUAUUAUCUUUCUCAUACCUUCUCUUCAUUCUGGAAAAGACAGUGAUUAGAGAUAUAUAUACCAUGCAGAUAAUUGAGAUUGUGUUAACACGUGCUACAGAUAGUAUUAUCAGAAGAAUAUGCGAUUGAUGCACAUAACUAUUGCUUGUGCUUAAAAAAAUACAAAUUGGCAAUGUGGAUGUAAAACUGCAACCAAUGGUAUAAAAUGAGCUAUUCUGCUUCCGCUCGUUAGAUUUUCAAAGAUGAUUUAAUGAGUGGCAAUCACAAACAAUAGUUUCCACUGCAAAUAACCCCCAAAACGAAAAGGAAACAAGCUAGUGUGGAAUGGGUAAUACACCAGCGACCACUAUUGCACUAAUUGACGAUAGAUAGAUAUAGAAGGUGGAGUGAUAAAUGUCUCAAUGGCUUUAAAACAUGAAAAUUCUUUAGACGAACUUGUAAGCAGGACUCACCUGUUCACACCAUCAGCACCAGAUUCAAGCAAGAAUAAACAUACACACACAUAUGGAGUCUCAUAUUCCAACUAUAGAAUGAAUCCAUAACUGCAUAUUUCCUAAUAAAUUCAUCAAAUAAUGUUUAAUUAGCAUAGCCAUCUUGUAUAUAUGGCUUUACUCUGGAGAUAAAAUUAUUAAUAUCUGCUAGAUACAAUAAUGUUCUAGACAUCUCUGUGAGCAAAAAAUAUGGGUCUCCAAAUCUGAACUAACAAUAUUAGCCCAACAGAUUAGGAAAUCUGCUCCUACAUGCAUGCAUGAUAGACCAUCGAUCUUAUCUUCAUCAACGAAAAGGAAAAGAAUGAGAAUAAAACAAAUUUUAGUGACUGUGGGUACGAACAUUUUCAGCAAUCAGCAGUCAUGCAUUUAAAAUGUCUCAGAUGCUUCCGAUUCCCCCACCAAUUGAAACACCCUGAUAAAAGCUCUAAUCAGAUCCAGCGACAUGGCAAAAAUACAAAAAAGGGAAAGAGCUUCCACUAAAAGCAAUUGGUACCGUUCUUUCCUUCUUAUUUUCCGAAGGCAACCAAUUUUGAUCUCUCAAAGCUUCAUCAGCUGCACAUAGAGCAUAUAUGCUAUAAAUCCCAUUCUUUAAUUCUUCUGAUUUUCCGAAGGCAGACAAUUUGCAUCCCUAAAAGACUCAUCAGCUGCACAUAGAGCAUAUGCUAUAAAUGCCGAUAUAGAUCUACUGUCAUGGAAAAAAAUGUUCAAUAACCAAUUCGAAAUAUGAAACAAAGUUUAACUAUGAGACCCAAAACAUCACCAGUUACAUAUUAGUCAUAUGAUAGCAUCUCAUCAGAACUUAACAGAUUUCCAAUUGUAGAAGAGAGACAAUCGGUCUACCACAAUGAACGUGUAAUUAAUAACUUCUAUCUACUUAAAUCAUAGAGAUACCUGGCAGAAGAAACGCCAAAAAAUAGGUCCAACAAAGUGUUGUGGCAUUGUAGACUGUUACUCCAAAUGGCACUGAAGAUAAGGGUCCUUAUAUCAGUACCAGUUAUCAGAUGACAAUAUUGCAGCAUUGUCUACGGGAAAGCAUGUAUAGUAUGCUGAAACAUAACAACCUUAUUUAAAUUUCUCUUGAGCGGCUUAUAUAUGAAAUCCAAGAAUGCACCGAUACAGAUACAUGUAUUAGUAUAAGGCUGAUAAGGAUACGUAAAUUCUCCAUUUCCUAAAAGCACCAAUAUGGGGAUACGCUUUUUUUAGUUCACAAAAAAUAUAUCAUCACCAUCAGCUAAUUAAAAUUCACUUCAUUGAAUCAGUACACAACUUCAUCAGCAUUUUGUGCAUAACAUUCCCAUCAGCGAGGGUGAGUUACUGAGCAUGGCAUAGAGCAGGGCGACCUCGGUAGGUGUGGGCAGAGUGCUGACCAGUCCGGUCAGAUCUGCCAACAUCCCGAGCUCCACCAUGGCAGGCAACUCAAAGUCCCGGCCUUUGGCGAGAGAACAAACACAACCAGUAGUCAACAAGAUGAGAGGAAGCAAGAAAUCACGCUGGAUCAAAAGGAUGUCAAGUAGCAAUUCAUAUAUGAUAAAUGACAAGUGGAACAAUCAUGUGCAGAAAAGGGAACAACAAUCCAAUCUCACAGCUACAGUGGGAAAACCAAUUGAUACCGGAUAGUUAGGCCUCGUGUCCACGCCUCCUCGUCGAAGAAAUACAUGGGAGUGACAACUACGAAACUAAAGCAAAACAACACAGAAGAAACCUACCCAUGAGAAUAGAAAAAUAACUAAAAUAAUAAUAAUUGGAAGAGAAUGAAUGGAGUUACCGUCAGCCAGCUAAGGUCUUGAUCAUUAGUUUCCUUUCAUUUUGAGGGAUUGAUUGUGACUUUCCUACCCAGGAAAACAUAUAACUAAUAAUAUAUAUGUUGUGAAAGAAAAAUAAGAUAUAGAGUAGCCUUAGAAAUACUUCUCUUUUCCUACUUAAGUGAUGGUGUACGAGCAUGAAUUAAAUCUAAUUUUGAGGAGUUGCAUACGAGGUUGUAUUCAAUAAUUUAUAUGAUAGCAAAAAAAAUGCUUCCAUCCUGAUCUUUCACACCCAAUAAUUAUUUUUCUUAUCCUUUAUAACAUAUUGUAUAUCUAUUUCCCACAUUAAUAUCUAUUUCCCUAGCACUACAUGACCAUCAUGUAAUGUAGGUGCUGAACAUUACGACUGAUAAGCUUCUUGUCAGCAAAAACGCUUUAAAAGUCAACGCUGAAAAGAUAAUACAUCUACUGGAAGCAACAAGAAUGCAGCACACAAUUACAGACAUAUAUCAUUUAUAAAUGUAAUCUUCGUUCCUACUUAACAAUGAAACUGGCAGCGGGGAUGCAUAAUAUAAACCCAGAUGCAAUAAUUGAUGUCUAUAUUUUACUGGAUGAUGGGAACAUGUAGGCUGCAUCAUACGAAUCCAUAAGCAAUUGGAAUUCUGCAAGGAGGCAAACAAAUCGCUAUGUGAGAACGACUCUUUCCUCGAUAAUGGCUGUUUUUAUGUUUCGAACAAAACAACAGCAAAGCUUAUGAGACCUUGUUUGGUCUGAUCCUAUGAGAGAAUGUAAGCCCUGCCCAAAUUGAACAACACUACAGAGGACUAAAAAACAGAGUGCAAAUUCAGGAGGACUAAACCAUUACAUACCUAGUGGUCGUUCACGUCGACUACCUUAGUCCCGCGUCGUUCUCCAACAGCACAUCGUCCAUGGCCAUGACCUCGCACAACGUCGUCCAGCGCAGCAGCGAUGCCUGCUGCACACGUUCUUCCAGUUUACGCUCCCCACAGGCCGCAAAAGACCAACGAAACACAUCCGUGCACAAAUCAUUCAACAAGGUGGCCCAAAUCAGUGCCAAUUCAAGGCCAGCAGUAGCAAAAAUCAUGUACAUAAUGAGAAUUUCAAAAGGAAAGAUCAUGCAUAUAUAUAUAUAGAAGAAACACUAAUACACAUGAUUUUGAGGAAUCCAAGAAUCUGGUAAAAGUUAAAUGUCAAAUGUAUAGGGAAUAUUAGUAUUAUCUUUCUCAUACCUUCUCUUCAUUCUGGAAAAGACAAUGAUUAGAGAUAUAUAUACCAUGCAGAUAAUUGACAUUUUGUUAACACGUGCUACACAUAGUAUUAUCAGAAGAAUAUGCGAUUGAUGCACAUAACUAUUGCUUGUGCUUAAAAAAAAUACAAAUUGGCAAUGUGGAUGUAAAACUGCAACCAAUGGUAUAAAAUGAGCUAUUCUGCUUCCGCUCGUUAGAUUUUCAAAGACGAUUUAAAGAGUGGCAAGCACAAACAAUAGUUUCCACUGCAAAUAACCCCCAAAACGAAAAGGAAACAAGCUAGUGUGGAAUGGGUAAUACACCAGCGACCACUAUUGCACUAAUUGACGAUAAAUAGAUAUAGAAGGUGGAGGGAUAAAUGUCUCAAUGGCUUUAAAACAUGAAAGUUCUUUAGACGAACUUGUAAGCAGGACUCACCUGUUCACACCUUCAGCACCAGAUUCAAGCAAGAAUAAACAUACACACACAUAUGGAGUCUCAUAUUCCAACUAUAGAAUGGAUCCAUAACUGCAUAUUUCCUAAUAAAUUCAUCAAAUAAUGUUUAAUUAGCAUAGCCAUCUUGUAUAUGUGGCUUUACUCUGGAGAUAAAAUUAUUAAUAUCUGCUAGAUACAAUAAUGUUCUAGACAUCGCUGUGAGCAAAAAAUAUGGGUCUCCAAAUCUGAACUAACAAUAUUAGCCCAACAGAUUAGGAAAUCUGCUCCUACAUGCAUGCAUGAUAGACCAUCGAUCUUAUCUUCAUCAACGAAAAGGAAAAGAAUGAGAAUAAAACAAAUUGUAGUGACUGUGGGUACGAACAUUUUCAGCAAUCAGCAGUCAUGCAUUUAAAAUGUCUGAGAUGCUUCCGAUUCCCCCACCAAUUGAAACACCCUGAUAAAAGCUCUAAUCAGAUCCAGCGACUCGGCAAAAAUACAAAAAAGGGAAAGAGCUUCCACUAAAAGCAAUUGGUACCGUUCUUUCCUUCCUAUUUUCCGAAGGCAACCAAUUUUGAUCUCUCAAAGCUUCAUCAGCUGCACAUAGAGCAUAUAUGCUAUAAAUCCCAUUCUUUCAUUCUUCUGAUUUUCCGAAGGCAGACAAUUUGCAUCCCUAAAAGACUCAUCAGCUGCACAUAGAGCAUAUGCUAUAAAUCCCGAUAUAGAUCUACUGUCAUGGAAACAAAAAUGUUCAAUAACCAAUUUGAAAUAUGAAACAAAGUUUAACUAUGAGACAUAAAACAUCACCAGUUACAUAUUAGUCAUAUGAUAGCAUCUCAUCAGAACAUAACAGAUUUCCAAUUGUAGAAGAGAGACAAUCGGUCUACCACAAUGAACGUGUAAUUAAUAACUUCUAUCUACUUAAAUCAUAGAGAUACCUGGCAGAAGAAACGCCAAAAAUAGGUCCAACAAAGUGUUGUGGCAUUGUAGACUGUUACUCCAAAUGGCACUGAAGAUAAGGGUCCUUAUAUCAGUACCAGUUAUCACAUGACAGUAUUGCAACAUUGUCUACGGGAAAGCAUGUAUAGUAUGCUGAAACAUAACAACCUUAUUUAAAUUUCUCUUGAGAGGCUUAUACAUGAAAUCCAAGAAUGCACCGAUACAGAUACAUGUAUUAGUAUAAGGCUGAUAAGGAUACGUAAAUUCGCCAUUUCCUAAAAGCACCAAUAUGGGGAUACACUUUUUUUAGUUCACGAAAAAUAUAUCAUCACCAUCAGCUAAUUAAAAUUCAGUUCAUUGAAUCAGUACACAACUUCAUCAGCAUUUUGUGCAUAACAUUCCCAUCAGCGUGCGUGAGUUACCGAGCAUGGCACAGAGCAGGGCGACCUCGGCAGGUGUGGGCAGAGUGCUGACCAGUCCGGUCAGAUCUGCCAACAUCCCGAGCUCCACCAUGGCAGACAACUCAAAGUCCCGGCCUUUGGCGAGAGAACAAACACAACCAGUAGUCAACAAGAUGAGAAGAAGCAGGAAAUCACGCUGGAUCAAAAGGAUGUCAAGUAGCAAUUCAUAUAUGAUAAAUCACAAGUGGAACAAUCAUGUGCAGAAAAGGGAACAACAAUCCAAUCUCACAGCUACAGUGGGAAAACCAAUUUAUACCGGAUAGUUAGGCCUCGUGUCCACGCCUCCUCGUCGAAGAAAUACAUGGGAGUGACAACUACGAAACUAAAGCAAAACAACACAGAAGAAACCUACCCAUGAGAAUAGAAAAAUAACUAAAAUAAUAAUAAUUGGAAGAGAAUGAAUGGAGUUACCGUCAGCCAGCUAAGGUCUUGAUCAUUAGUUUCCUUUUAUUUUGAGGGAUUGAUUGUUUCUUUCUUACCCAGGCAAACAUAUAACUAAUAAUAUAUAUGCUGUGAAAGAAAAAUAAGAUAUAGAGUAACCUUAGAAAUACUUCUCUUUUCCUACUUAAGUGAUGGUGUACGAGCAUGAAUUAAAUCUAAUUUUGAGGGGUUGCAUAUGAGAUUGUAUUCAAUAAUUCAUAUGCUAGCAAAAAAAAUGCUUCCAUCCGGAUCUUUCACACCCAAUAAUUAUUUGUCUUAUCCUUUAUAACAUAUUGUAUAUCUAUUUCCCGCAUUAAUAUCUAUUUCCCUAGCACUACAUGACCAUCAGGUAAUGUAGGUGCUGAACAUUAUGACUGAUAAGCUUCUUGUCAGCAAAAACGCUUUAAAAGUCAACGCUGAAAAGAUAGUACAUCUACUGGAAGCAACAAGAAUGCAGCACACAAUUACAUACAUAUCUCAUUUAUAAAUGUAAUCUUCGUUCCUACUUAACAAUUGAAACUGGCAGCGGGGAUGCAUAAUAUAAACCCAGAUACAAUAAUUGAUGUCUAUAUUUUACUGGGUGAUGGGAACAUGUAGGCUGCAUCAUACGAAUCCAUAAGCAAUUGGAAUUCUGCAAGGAGGCAAACAAAUCGCUAUGUGAGAACGACUCUUUCCUCGAUAAUGGCUGUUUUUAUGUUUCGAACAAAACAACGACAAAGCUUAUGAGACUUUGUUUGGUCUGAUCCUAUGAGAGAGUGUAAGCCCUGCCCAAAUUGAACAACACUACAGAGGACUAAAAAACAGAGUGCAAAUUCAGGAGGACUAAACCAUUACAUACCCAGUGGUCGUUCACAUCGACUACCUUAGUCCUGCGUCGUUCUCCAACAGCACAUCGUCCAUGGCCAUGCCCUCGCACAACGUCGUCCAGCGCAACAGCGAUGCCUGCGGCACACGUUCUUCCAGUUUACGCUCCCCACAUGCCGCAAAAGACCAACGAAACACAUCCGUGCACAAAUCAUUCAACAAGGUGGCCCAAAUCAGUGCCAAUUCAAGGCCAGCAGUAGCAAAAGUCAUGUACAUAAUGACAAUUUCAAAAGGAAAGAUCAGGCAUAUAUAUAUAUAGAAGAAACACUAAUAGACAUGAUUUUGAGGAAUCCAAGAAUCUGGUAAAAGUUAAAUGUCAAAUGUAUAGGGAAUAUUAGUAUUAUCUUUCUCAUACCUUCUCUUCAUUCUGGAAAAGACAAUGAUUAGAGAUAUAUAUACCAUGCAGAUAAUUGAGAUUGUGUUAACACGUGCUACAGAUAGUAUUAUCAGAAGAAUAUGCGAUUGAUGCACAUAACUAUUGCUUGUGCUUAAAAAAAAUACAAAUUGGCAAUGUGGAUGUAAAACUGCAACCAAUGGUAUAAAAUGAGCUAUUCUGUUUCCGCUCGUUAGAUUUUCAAAGACGAUUUAAUGAGUGGCAAGCACAAACAAUAGUUUCCACUGCAAAUAACCCCCAAAACGAAAAGGAAACAAGCUAGUGUGGAAUGGGUAAUACACCAGCGACCACUAUUGCACUAAUUGACGAUAAAUAGAUAUAGAAGGUGGAGUGAUAAAUGUCUCAAUGGCUUUAAAACAUGAAAAUUCUUUAGACGAACUUGUAAGCAGGACUCACCUGUUCACACCUUCAGCACCAGAUUCAAGCAAGAAUAAACAUACACACACAUAUGGAGUCUCAUAUUCCAACUAUAGAAUGAAUCCAUAACUGCAUAUUUCCUAAUAAAUUCAUCAAAUAAUGUUUAAUUAGCAUAGCCAUCUUGUAUAUAUGGCUUUACUCUGGAGAUAAAAUUAUUAAUAUCUGCUAGAUACAAUAAUGUUCUAGACAUCUCUGUGAGCAAAAAAUAUGGGUCUCCAAAUCUGAACUAACAAUAUUAGCCCAACAGAUUAGGAAAUCUGCUCCUACAUGCAUGCAUGAUAGACCAUCGAUCUUAUCUUCAUCAACGAAAAGGAAAAGAAUGAGAAUAAAACAAAUUGUAGUGACUGUGGGUACGAACAUUUUCAGCAAUCAGCAGUCAUGCAUUUAAAAUGUCUGAGAUGCUUCCGAUUCCCCCACCAAUUGAAACACCCUGAUAAAAGCUCUAAUCAGAUCCAGCGACUCGGCAAAAAUACAAAAAAAGGAAAGAGCACAUCGUCCCACUUCGAUUCCAUCCAGUGGGAGGUCCGCGACAUCCAUAUGGAGCCACCUCCGUUGCCAAUUCCACCUCCCGAGUACCGCAUCACCUGGCUGUCUUCUUCAUCUCCGGCAAGCCAACGCCAUCGGGUUUCCGUAACCUCCACGAUGCUUCAAGUGUGGAGUAGCCACAGGGGUCGCGAUGUGGGCGCUGAAAAGGGAGGAGGUGGGCAGGGCUCCGGGGGAUGCGUCGGUGCGCGGAGAGAGAGAGAGAGGAGUCGCCGCCGCCGUGAUCCAGAUCGAGUUCCCAGGCGCAGGGAGAGAUCGUUAGUUUUUUUCUUCGUGUGAGGGGUCGUCGUACGGUUCUUUUUCACGAGUGCGGUCGUCGUCCGUUUUUUUUCUCGCGCGAGGGGGCAUCGUGCUUGGGUGCGAGGGAGGUGGGAGGAUUGACCGAAAAAAAACAGCGAAAAUAAACCGCGGAGACUAUUCACCAACUCGUCCAUUAGGAGUAGAGACUCGUUGCAAAGAUCACUCCAACUCCCUUGGUUGCAACAAGUGGCGCACAUGCAACGCGCCACUUGUCGCAACAUGGUAGUUUUCCCUUUUUCCAUAGAUCCGUUUAUUCAAAAUGUUUUAUCUCGCAAACCGUGCAUCCAAAUCUUGAACCGCUUUCACAGUUGGAUUCCUCGCGCCGAGAUCUUCAAAACUAGAUCCCAUGUUGAUAGGUUUUGACGAACUUUUUUUUCAUGAAAAAAACCGGACGAAAAAACCGAACCGGGAGCACGGGUUUUUUCCCUUUCUGAAAGAAGCACGCCCGUGGCUCUCAGGAAACCACAACCGUGCCUCUCGCGGAAGCAAAACCGUGACUCUCGCGGAAGGAAAAAAGAGAGAAAGCCUGUAUUUUUUUUCUUUUCCGAGGAGGCACGGCCGUGACUCUCGUGAAAGCACAACCGUGCCUUUUUGCGGAAGCAAAAUCGUGACUCUCGCGAAAGGACAAAAAGAACGGAAAACGCAUUUUUUCCCUUUCCGAGAGGCACGGCCGUGACUCUCGCGAAAGCACAACCGUGCCUCUCGCGGAAGCAAAACCGUGACUCUCGCGAAAGGAAAAAAAGACAAAAAACGCGUUUUUUUCGUUUCCGAGAGGCACGGCCGUGACUCUCGCGAAAGCACACCCGUGGCUCUCGCGAAAGCAAAACCGUGACUCUCGCGAAAGCAAAAGAAAAACAGAAAACGCGUUUUUUUCGUUUUCGAGAGGCACGACCGUGACUCUCGCGAAAGGGAAAAAAGAAAACGCAUUUUUUCGCGCAAAAUUUUUUUUUUCAAAUUUUUUUUGAUUGAAAAGGUAAGGAAGACCGUUGAAAAACCAAAACGUCGAAAAAAACCGUUUAAAAAGCCAAAAACGUGUGUGGAAAAAUAAAAAAAUAAAAUCCGGAGGGAGCGCCCAGAGCGCGACACGUGGCGAAUGGCUGAGAGCGCGCCAAGUGGCGUUGAUCGUUGCGAGGCUCCCGAAGGAGCGCUCGUUAACUAGUUGCUCUCUUAUGUUACGGGGUGAUGUGGAGCAACGCAAUUGGGCCAAGAUUAGUUGCUGGGCCUCACCCCAGAUGAAUUCAGGGGGCAGAAGAGAGUUUAUGGAAGGGGAACGUUUUACGCCAACGCGUCGGCCGAAACGUUCGGCCGGUCGCGUCACGUGCGCUCGAUCCACAUGGAUCCAAUGUCUCUCGCGCGUCCUUCUCCCAAUUUUUUUCUUUUGCCUUAUCUUCUUCUUCCUUCCACCACUCAACCUCCCUCCACCUCAGGCGCUGCCGCCAAGCGCCGCGGCUUCUCCGGCGAGGCCACCACCGGCGGACCCCUUAUCUUCUUCUUCCUUCUACCACUCAACCUCCAUCCACCUUUCAUCCCCACCCCCACUCCCCCCUCCGCGACCUCAGGCGUUGCCACCGAGGGCCGCGGCUUCUUCGGCGAGGCCACCACCGGCGGACCCCAUUAGGUUGCUGCACGAGAGACCUGCCGACGAUGGUGUCGCGAAUGCUACAACCACGUACCACAAAGCUACAAUCGGCUUGCAAAGAUGCUAUAACGUGUGCACAACGGAGCUGCAAUCGGCAACGUGUGUCGACAAAUGCUACAACCGUUCAACAAAAAAGUUACAACCACGUUCGUUAGAGCUGCAACCCGAGUUCGCCGGAGUUUGUAGCCACUAUGAUCCAGCGAAUUUUUCUACAACUGGUGUAGAAUUUCGCUACAACCAGUGUCUCAUUUUGCGACAUUACCAUAGCCGGCGUCGGGAAUUUUUGCUACAAUGUUGUCACGCCGUGCUACAACCAGCACUUCAAAUUGCUACAACCGGCACACGGGAAUGCUACCACCGCUGAGAAAAAAAGCUCCAACCAGAGAUACAUGGAAACUGAGGCGGGGCGCCAUGGAAGCUGCAAUCGGCACCUGAGAAGGUACAACUGUUGAUGGGAAAAGCUCCAACCGGCAAACAAGAAUCCUUCAACUGGAGGUGACAGAAGCUAUGGUCGGAGGACGAAAGCUGCAACCGGCUAUGGCAAAGCUACAACCAGCGCUUGCAGAAGCUUUCACCAUGUACGAUGAUGACCGUGGCGAGUUUUCGACUCGACAAGCCGGCGGGCUGCAACUGAUGUUGCCGAUGACCGUGACGGCGACGACUAAGGGACCCCGGUGAGCGUCGACCACCAGCGCUGCGACCGCGAACGAUGGCGUCGUGGCUAUGGAGGGCGAGAGCUGCGGGGGGCGGCUUUUGCAGUGUCGCGGCUGUAGCAACACAUCCAACGACGGCCGGGGGCGAGCGCGCGGCGGCCGGGGGUGAGCGCACGGCGGAUCUGAAGCAGAGGGAAGGGGGAAGAAGAUGAUGACGUGGGAGAGGAGGGAUCGAACGGCUCUAAUCCCGCGCAUCGGGUGGCUGGGGCUAGUCCGGCCGAACUGUUCGGCCGGACUGCCGGAGCCUAUCACUGCCCUUUAUGGAAGGCGUACCAGUUUCUAUUACUAGAUUUUUUGCCCCCACCCACCCACCCGCCUGCCGCCGCUGCUGCUCUCGGCGUUCGCGACGGCGACCGGGCGACGGCGAUGGAGUCCGUGGGCGUGCUGCUGCUGUACCCCGUGAACGCCUACCUGGAGCAAGAGCUCGACCGCCGCUUCCGCCUCAUCCGCCUUUGGGACGCCCCUCCCGACGGCAGCGCCGAGUUCCUCCGCGCCAACGCCUCCGCCAUCCGCGCCGUCGUUGUCUACCCCGGCUACGGCACCCUCGCUGAGCUCAUCGACGCGCUGCCGUCGCUCGAGAUCGUGGCGUCCUUCUCCGUGGGGAUCGACCACGUCGACCUCCCCAAGUGCCGCGAGCGCGGGACGUCCUCACGGACGACGUCGCCGACCUCGCCGUCGGCCUCGCCAUCGCCGCGCUACGGAGGAUCCCGCAGGCCGACCGCUUCGUGCGCACCGGCCUGUGGAAGGCCAAGGGAGACUACGCACUCACCACGCGAGUUGGUUUCCUAUAUGCUUGGCUAGCGUUGACUUCCGUUUGUAGUAUUUUUGCAGUCCGAUAAUCCACUGCCUCCUAGGUGAUUUUGAUUUAUAUACGAUAGCUCAUAUAUGGCGAUGUGGUUCGUAUUUUCCCUCCUACAAUAUCAACCUCAUACUACUAGGCUAGGGAAUUGCCGGCUCUUUUUUGGAUGUUGUGCUGUGUGUCACUUGGAAUCGUGGUAAUACUAAGGCUGAUGGAUGAUCAGAAAAGCAUGAAAAUCACGAUUUUGUUCCUCCCUGACCAUAGCUUCGUAGUAGCAUAAAUAGGAAAUCAAUUGCAACGCAUUUUGUCAUGCUUUCCAUUUCCUUUAUGGCUAGGCUAAGCCUACAGUUUGUGCAUUGAAAGACUUUCUUAUGAGCGGAAUCCCGUUAGAAUUGAUGCAGGGACCAGAGGAUAGCACCUGUACAUUGUGAAAAAUGGUCAGGGGCACCUAUCUGAAGGAUAGAAUGUUCUCCCUCUGUAAACUAAUAUAAGAUCUUGAUCUAAAAGAUCUUAUAUUAGUUUACAGCGGGAGUACUUAGCAAGAUUGAUCUGGUACUUAUUAUAAUGAUGAGUUAUCAGCAAACGAAACUCUUGUAAAAGCAUGGAGUAGUUGAGGAUGCUGGUUUGCCAUUCCAUGCAAUCCUAGGAUCAGAUUUGAUCUUCUCAAAGAAAAGAAACAAUCCACUCUCAUUAUUUUUUUUGCAGUAAGAAAAGGAGCUAAGGCAUUUGGUUGCUCAAUCAGUUAUUAUUCAGAAUCGCAUAAACCAUUUUCCAAACUACAAGUUCUUCACAAAUGGUGUUGACCUGGCAGGCAACUGUUAUGCGCUUAUUGUAGCAUUUUCCCUUAAUGCAGAGGCCAAUUUCAUUGUUAGUUGUACAAUCAUGGAUGGAGUAGGACCAGUAGGUGUGCUCAUAGACAUUGGCCAUGGAGCACAUGCUGAUCGAUCUGAGUUUGUAUCUGCUCAUACCGAGAAGCCCUUUGCCCCAGAGCAUCUUGGUUUAGAUAAUGUUGUUUUGGCCCCUCAGUAGGAAGUGACACGGAAGAAACAUGCAUUGCAAUGGUUGAUCUGUCUCGAAAGAAUUUAGAAGCACAUGCUUUGAGCUGUCUAUUUACAGGGAUAUGUGCAUCUGUCUGUGUGGUCAAGGUGUGCAAUCUCAGCAUUUCGUUUUGGAUGCUUUCAUUCUUAUCUUCGUGUAAAGUGAUUUCCUUGUUUACGCAAAUAUAGCAUGAUUUGUGAUUUCACUUUCUCAUGGAUUUUGUUUAUCCAUUUGCAGUUCAGUGGCAAAACAGUGGGCAUUAUUGGGCUGGGCAGGAUAGGGCUUGCUAUUGCCACUCGAGUGGAGGCCUUUGAUUGCCCAGUCAACUACUACCAGAGAACAAAGAAGGACUACCCCAAUUACACCUAUUACCCUUCUGUACUUGAAUUGGCAGCAAACAGCGACGUCCUCGUGGUGGCUUGCCCAUUGAGUGAACAGACCCGCCACAUUGUCAACCGUGAGGUGAUGGAGGCACUCGGACCCAAGGGCGUGCUCAUAAACAUCGGGCGCGGCCCUCAUGUUGACGAGCCUGAGGCCUUGUACAAUGGGAGAUGCUUAGGGAGGUGUUUAGAAAAAUAAACCGGGUUUUUCUGAAGCACCGGUGCCUAUUUCUAUAGAAGAGACGCUUAGUUAAGCGUCUACCAUGUACAAAUAAGCACCGGUGCUUAAGAAAAUCCUGGUUUAUUUCUCUAAGCACCUCUCCUAAGCACCUCCCAUUGUACAAGGCCUGAGCUUGUCUCUGCGCUCGUUGAGGGGCGCCUUGGUGGGGCAGGCCUCGACGUGUUUGAGGAUGAGCCCGAUGUGCCUGAGUCGCUCUUCACGCUUGACAAUGUUGUCCUGGCACCACACAUGGGGAGCGGGACACACGAGACGCGCAAGGCGAUGGCUGACCUGGUUCUCGGUAACCUGGAGGCGCAUGUUCUAAAGAAACCGCUGUUGAGUCCUGUUAUCUGAUAUGAUGAUCUCUGAUCGCAAGCACGAACAAGCAUUAUAAUGUGUUUUAUAUGCAUUUGUGUGCUAAUAUGUCAUCAUGUUUGGUCGUACCAUUUGAAGUUGUUGUCUCAAGGAAUGUUCUAUGUGGAUGGCCUCAAAAAUAAUUUCUCUCUUCGAAAGCCCGUUUGUUUGGCUUUAUCAAUAAUUAAUAAUAUAUGGUCGUAUGCAUCAAUCGACGGAGAGUCCGAGGUUCUUCCCCUUUUCCAUUUUAUUUUGAAGAAGCACGAUAAGAUGUUUUCCCUUUCAAUAUCUCUUUGACAUAUGUAGCUUCUUAUCGGUAAGCAGUUUGUGAGACCUAUUGACAAGUUUGAUUUCUUUUGGGAUCGUCUCAUAUCUGGUUUUCGUGGUUUAUGUUUUGUCGACGCAAAUGUCAUGCUAUGUAAUAUGCCUGAUUUUCUUGGUUGAGUAAAUGUUGCCAUUUAGUAUGGAUGGUUUGGUAGCUUGCAAGCUUUUUGCGCUUUUCGGUAGCUUGGCUGAGUUGGGCCUGGCUAUGCAUGUUGUGCAUAUAGUUUGGUAGCCUGCAUGUUCCUCAGCCUAAGUCCUAGAUGGAACGUUCUGCUAUUUCAUUACAUUCACACUGAUGAUUAAUCUCGCCUUUUAUCCAAGUGGUAAACUUACCUCAGAUAGAAACGGUUGCUGAAGGAAGAAGAGAAAGGCCGGCUCGAGCUAGAAAAAGGUAUGGCAUCCUUCGGAUGCUCAUCCAACGGGAUGACUCGAGGUAGGAGGAGUGGCAGCCCUUGGAUGCUCAUUCAAUGGUCAUGAAAUCGGAUGGGCGCGAAUAUUUUUUUAUGAGACAGAUGCCCAAGUGUGAUACGUUUGCACAAUCAGUAGGAAAAUGUAUAUCUACUCGUCUAUGACCAUCGAAAUAGAAAACGUAACACAAAAGCUGUGUGAAACAGCAAGAUGAAGUUACUGGUCUACAGAAAUUUCAAACGGUCGUUCGGGUGCGAAGAUUUUCUCAAACUUCAUCGUUUCAUAACAUGGACACAUGAACAUGUUUGUGUGGUCCAGUAAGAGAUGCAGAUCUACUCGCCUAGAAAACGUCCAACACAAAAGUCAUGGAUACAGCGAAAAGAAGCUAGUGGUCGACUUGGUGUGAAGAUUUUGCUGAAAUUCAUCUAAAAACCCUCCAAACAUUAGCAUGAAAUUGAAGACUUACAGUCCAUAAAAUUAGAAACCGACGGUCUGAAUGAAAUAUUUGCAUAUUUUUCAUGUAGACCAUAUUUCGAGUCAAAUCACCAUUGUGUGUGAAGUAGAUCAAAGAGGGUGAGUGCAAUAUAACAUGUGCAAACCUCACCUACACGCUCGCACCACCGGAGCCACCACUUAUGCUCAAGUUGCAUCGCUCGCGUUGCUUUGAGAAAAUGGACGAUUCGAGCAUUCCUGCGAAGCCAGGCCUGGAGUUGAUUUAUGCACCAUGCUAUGCAGGUCCAAUAGCAACACACCUAGGGAGGCACGUGAAUGAAUGCCCCUUUUAUCAGAAAAUAUUAAAUCCAUUUCACACUUGGGGAGAUAGUUGAUCGAUGUCCAUUUUCACACUUAGGCAGAUAGUAGACCAAUGCACUCGAGCCGCUCCCCUCACCCGUCCCACUCCAUGGCCGUCGCCGUUCCAACCUCCUUGUCCUCCUUUUCCCCCUCUCCCAUGCUCCUCCUCUAGCCUCCAGCUCCAUAACUAACCACCACCACCAUCUCCAGCCUCCCGAUCUAGCAGAACUGGCAGCCCAAUCUCAUGAGUGGGAUCGUGGUGGGGCGGCACAGGCGAACAGUGGCUUCAGGAGAUGGCCGGCGUCAGUGAUGCCCCUUGAGAUCCGGUUUGGAUAGCAGAAGGUUCCCGUACCUUUUCCCCAAGGAGUGACUCUGGGUAUCAAACCCACUAGAGGAUGUGCACCAUGACAAAGAGGCAAACAAGUGAUUGCUAUCGAAUUAAAUUCUAGUUUUUUAAUCAGACCUUUCUCACAACUUUUUUGGACGUAAACACUGGUAUGAAAAUAGGCAUGAGUAUAUGUGGUCUUACUCUCACAACCAUACAUUCCCUCUGUCUCAAAAUGUAAAAGGAUAUUUUACACUAUCAUGGUGUCAAAAAUCCUCUUACAUUUUGGGACAAAGAGUGUACAUACCUGUGGGAUCUCAUCUUACUAAUAAACAUAGCUCUGAACACAACUGCCAUGAUGUGCUUGCUACGUGAUGAAGUAGGGAUGUGUUCAAAGUACGUCUUGACUGGUCACAACCUGCAUCAAGAGUUAGUUGUCCAACUGAUACAUCAUUUUGCAUCAUGUUUUCCUACUAUUAUUUAUAUAGUUUUGGGUCAAUAUUUCACUUCAUGAGGUAAUUCUAAUGUCUUUUCUCUCUUAUUAUGCAAGAUUUAUAUGAAGAGGAAAAUUGCUGACAGCUGUAAUUCUGGACCUGAAACGAGCUACAGCAGAGAUAGCUAUUCUCCGAAGCUCCAAAUGACCUGAAAAUUUACGAAGAUUUAUUUGGAACUAAUAGAAAAAUACAGGAAGAAGAAUCACCAGGAGGGCCCCACCAGUGAGCCACAAGCUCAGGUGGCGCUCCCCUGGGGCACGCCAUGUGAGCUUGUGGGCCCACCAGCAGGCCUUCGUGGCCCUCCUUCUCCUAUAUGAUGUCAUUUUCACUAGAAAAAAAUAAAGAGAGGACAUUCGGGAUGAAGCGCCGCCGUCUUGAGGCGGAACCUGGGCAGGAGCAGUUUUGCUCUCUCGCGGAGCGAUUCUGCUAGGGAUACUUCCCCUCCGGGUGGGGAAAAUCGAAGCCAUCGACAUCACCAACGAUCCUCUCAUCGUAGGAGGACUAAUCUUCAUCAACAUAUUCACCAACAACAUCUCCUCUCAAACCCUAGUUCAUCUCUUGUAUUCAAUCUUUGUCUCAAAACCUCAUAUUGGUACUUGUGGGUUGCUAGUAGUGUUGAUUGCAUGUUGUAGUUGAUGCUAGUUGGUUUAUUUGGUGGAAGAUUAUAUGUUCAGAUCCUUAAUCAUAUACAAUACUCCUCUGAUCUUGAACAUGAAUAUGAUUUGUGAGUAGGUCCGUUUGUUCUUGAGGACAUGGGAGAAGUCUUGUUAUAAGUAAUUAUGUGAAGUUGGUACUCGUUCAAUAUUUUGAUGAUGUGUAUGUUGUUCUUCCUGUAGUGGUGUCAUCUGAACGUCGACUACAUGACUCUUCACCAUGUUUGGGCCUAGGGGAAGACAUAGGGGAGUAAUAAGUAGAUGAUGGGUUGCGAGAGUGCCAGAAGCUUAAACCCUAAUUUAUGAGUUAUUUCAUAAGGGCUAAUUUGGAUCCAUAUGUUUCAUGCUAUGGUUAGAUUUAUAUUAAUUCUUCUUUCGUAGUUACGGAUGCUUGUGAGAGGGGGUAAUCAUAAGUGGGUUGCUUGUUCAAGUAUGAACAUCAAUGCUACUUGUGAGUUGCGUUGGGAUUUCCCCGAAGAGGAGAGGAUGUUGCAGUACAAUAGAGAUAAGUAUUUCCCUCAAUUAAGAACCAAGGUUACCAAUCCAGUAGGAGAACCACGCGAAACCUCGUUAAUUAGCAGCACCUACACACACAAAGGCAAAUACUUGCACCCAACGCAAACAAGGGGGUUGUCAACCCCUCGGCGGUUAAUUGCAAGGAUCAAAUUUGGUAGUGAUAGAUAGAUAGAUUUAAACACAAAAUAAAAUAAUGGUAUAUAAAUUGAAGUAAGGUAUUUUUGGAUUUUAUAUAUGAUAAAAGUAGACCCCGGGGCCAUAGUUUGCACUAGAGGCUUAUCUCUCGAACAAAAAGCAUACAGUGGGUAAACAAAUUACUGUUGGACAAUUGAUAGAAAAACGCAUAGUUAUGACGAUAUUCAAGGCAAUGAUCAUGUAUAUAGGCAUCACGUGUGAGACAAUAGACGGAGUCCUGCCUGCAUCUACUACUAUUACUCCACCCAUCAACCGCUACCCAGCAUGAAUCUAGAGUAUUAAGUUAAUAAAAACGGAGUAACGCCUUAAGCAACAUGACAUGAUGUAGACAAAGUAAAUCCAACCAAUAUGAAUAAACCCCAUCGUUUUCCCCUUAAUGGCAACAAUACAAAUACGUGUCUUGUCCCCUUCCGUCACUGGGAUAUAGAACACCGCAAUAUUGAGCCCAUUACAAAGCACAUCUCCCAUUGCAAGAUAAAUCAAUCUAGUUGGCCAAACCAAACGGAAGAUUGAAGAGAAAUACAAAGCUAUAACAAUCGUGCAUAAAAGAGUUUAGAGAAGACUCAAAUAAUAUUCAUGAAUAAUCUGAUCAUCAACCCAAAAUUCAUCUGAUCCCAACAAACACACCGUAAAGAAGACUACAUCGGAUAGAACUCCAAGAACAUCGAGGAGAACAUUGUAUUGAAGACCAAAGAGAGAGAGAGAAGAAAUCAUCUAGCUACUAGCUAUGGACCCGUAGGUCUGUGGUAAACUACUCACACAUCAUUGGAAGGGCAGAAAGGUUGAUGUAAGGCCCUCCGUGAUCGAUUCCCCCUCCGACAGAGUGCUGAAAAAGGCCUUCGGAUGGGACCGUGGAAGAACAGGGACUUGCAGUGGCGGAAAAAGUAUUUUGGGUGGCUCCCUGUUGGUUUCCCGAUUUUAGAGAAUUUAUAGAGGUGGAACUAGGUCCGUCGGACCCAAGAGGGGCCCACAAUGUACUAGGACGUGGCCACCCCCUAGGCGUGCCCUACUGCCUUGCCAUCAACUUGUUUGCCUUAUGGCCUCCUCCCGAAGCUUCUUGGGUCUCUCUUGUCCCAGAAAAUGAUAUAUAAUUGCAUAUAAAGCAUCCAAGAUUGAUACUAUAAUAGCAUAGAAUAAUAAAAAAUUAUAGAUAUGUUGGAGACAUAUCAAUCAUCCUAGCACUGGUCCACCCACAUAUCAAAUUAACAUAGUAGUGAAUGCGGAUCAACUAAACAUAAUGAACGCGGCUAGAUGAGAAUUCCCAUGUGUCCUCGAGAACAUUUUGCUCACUAUAAGAAGUACUCCAGGCUUGCCUUUGCUAUAUAAAGGAUUGGGCCAUCUUGCUGCACCUUGUUACUAUUGUCACUUGUUACUUGUUACGGAUUAUGUUGUUAUCAAACUACACGUUACUACUACUUUAAGUGCUUGCAGAGAAUACCUUGCUGAAAACCGCUUAUCAUUCCUUCUACUCCUCGUUGGUUUCGACAAUCUUACUUAUCGAAAGAACUACAAUUGAUCCCAUAUACUUGUGGGUCAUCACCAACCGAUGAUCCUUACCACCUCACAGAGUCACCUCGUUUAUUAAACACAUAUCUUGGGUACUACACCCGCCAAAGGUGCUGGUCGUGGAGGCACAUCGCGUUCAAAGGGAUGUGUCCCAUGACUUUGUACGACCUCCAAUUGAGCUACACCACAUCAUUUUACUUAUGCACAAAGUAUUUUAUGAACAAUGAGGGCUAUUAUUCAUGAACAAUUAGAUUAUGGUGAGUCAAUGUGUCGAGCUCGUUGAUGUAUGACUUGUAUCACCCCAUCGAGGCCGAUGUGGACACCUCCACAAUAGCCCAUGUGUACACGACAGUGGGGACGCGAUCAGAUCCCCAUCAUAAGACCACUGCCAUUGUUUUGGUGGACUCGUGGAGCAAUUAUCAGUUCAUGACCCAACAUGGAUAUGUUCCGACAUGCAAACCUACAGGGCCCACACAAAACCGCCAACGUAGGAGGUCGGCUUCCGCCUCCGAUAUGCCUCAUCCAUCUGUACAUUCAAGGACAAGUUAUACCAUGAUACCCAAUCAUUAAGUUCAUACCUUGAACAUUGAUGCCUCUAGGUUUUACCUGCCGAUAUAAGAAAGCCAGUCCGACUAGCCUCCAACUCGACUUCAUGUCCCAGUCAAGUAGCGCGUCCAAGUACAUCCAUGAGGCUAUGUCCCCUUAACCAUCUGGAAACACAACCAAAGUCAAGAGGUGCCACAAAUAUGCCCAUGCGUACUUCUCCACACUCGCAUCACCGACAUUCUUAGACAAACCCAUCUAUAUGUUCUCGUAGCCACGAGUACAAUACACUAGCUAGCCUAGGAUCAUUCUUGGUUGGGUCAGUCCACAAUGUAGGUUCAACACCAAUCAAUUAUGCAACAUAUUUUCCCAGUAAGAUCCCUUCCCUCGAUCAAAAGAGCGCUGAUCAUCGCAAAGUCCUCCAAAGUGACCGUCAUCUUGUCAAGGGGCAACUAGGAGGAGUGCGUCUCGGGCCUCCAAUGGUCCAAAAGGGCGGUAAGGGCCAUGGAGUUGAGAAAAAGCAGAGUGCCUUUAAAGUUGAGGACAAAUGGGAGACGACCCAUGAUGCCCUUUGAGAUACAGUUUGGAUAGCAGAAGGUUCCCGUGCCUUUUCCCCAAGGAGUGACCGUAGGUUAUUGAACCCAGGAGUGGAUGGGCACUACGGCAAAGGGUCUGACAAUUUAUUGUUAGCAAAUAAAAUUCCAGUACUUCAACCAGAUAUUAACAACCUUUUUAGGUGUAAACGUUGUUAUGAAAACAUGCAUGGGUACGAUGUCUUACUCUUAUGACCUUAUAUUUAUGUGUGGGAUCUCAUCUUGAUAAUAAACGUAGCCACUAUGAUGUGCAUGUGAUGCAAUGAAGUAGGGGGGGGGGUGGACAAAGCACGUCUGGACCGGGUGCGCAACCUGCAUCAAGAGUCAGUUGUCCAACCGAUGGGCCUGAAAGUCGCGCGGGGUUACCUCGGUUAUUAAGAAAAAGUAUCCCAAAAAGCAUUGAAUGUUUAAUGACCACACCUAUUUUGUCCCCGGGGAAUUGCUUUUCACUACCAUACUAACCCCUUCUCUCAGUGCUAUUCCGGAUAGUGUUCCACUCCUGGCUUGCUCUUUACAUUCUUCUUGAUCUAUCUACGGAUCCUGGGUCCUUGUUGUUGGGGAUCGUUGCAGAAAUUAAAAAAAAUUCUACGCAUCACCAAGAUCAAUCUAUGGAGUUUACUAGCAACGAGAGGGGAGUGCAUCUUCAUAACUUUGAAGAUCGCGAUGCGGAAGCGUUGCAAGAUAGCGGUCGGUGGAGUCGUACACGAAGCGAUUCAGAUCGCGGCCGAUUCCGAUCUAAGCACAGAACAACGGUGCCUCCGCGUUCAACACACGUGCAGCCCGGUGACAUCUCCCGCGCCUUGAUCAGCAAGGAGAGAGCGAGAGGUUGGGGAAGACUCCGUCCAGUAGUAGCACGACGGCGUGGUGGUGGUGGAGGAGCGUGGCACUCCAGCAGGGCUUCGCCAAGCACUGCGAGAGACGAGGAGGGAGAGGGGUAGGGCUGCGCCAAGAGAGAGGGAGACUCGUGUUUCUGGCAGCCCCAAAACCCCCACUAUAUAUAGGGCAAGGGGAGGGGGGCCGGCCCCCUAGAUCCAUCUAGAGGGGGGGCGGCGGCCCCCUUAGGGUUUCCAACUAGGGGGCGCCCGCCCCCCGGGGGGCAGCGGCCCCCUAGGGUUUCCAACCCUAGGCACCAUGGGCCCUUGGGGGGCGCACCAGCCCACUAAGGGGCUGAUUCCCACCCAACUACAACCCGUUAGGUCCUUCGGGGCAGGUGGACCCUCCCGGUGGACCCCCGGAACCCCUUCGGUGGUCCUGGUACAAUACCGAUAAACCCCGAAACCUUUCCGGUGACUGAAACUGGACUUCCCAUAUAUAAAUCUUCACCUCUGGACCAUUCCGGAACUCCUCGUGACGUCAGGGAUCUCAUCCGGGACUCUGAACAACAUUCGGUAACCACGUACAUCUAUUCCCUAUAACCCUAGCGUCAUCGAACCUUAAGUGUGUAGACCCUACGGGUUCGGGAAUUAUGCAGACAUGACCGAGACAUCUCUCCGGCCAAUAACCAACAGCGGGAUCUGGAUACCCAUGUUGGCUCCCACAUGUUCCACGAUGAUCUCAUCGGAUGAACCACGAUGUCAAGGAUUCAAUCAAUCCCGUAUACGAUUCCCUUUGUCUACCGGUAUAGCACUUGCCCGAGAUUCGAUCGUCGGUGUACCGAUACCUUGUUCAAUCUCGUUACGGCAAGUCUCUUUAAUCGUUCCGUAACACAUCAUCCCGUGACCAACCCCUUAGUCACAUUGAGCUCAUUACGAUGAUGUCUUACCGAGUGGGCCCAGAGACACCCCUUCGUUAUACGGAGUGACAAAUCCCAGUCUCGAUUCGUGCCAACCCAACAGAUACUUUCGGGGAUACCCGUAGUGUACCUUUAUAGCCACCCAGUUACGUUGUGACGUUUGGCACACCCAAAGCAUUCCUACGGUAUCCGGGAGUUGCACAAUCUCAUGGUCUAAGGAAAUGAUACUUGACAUUAGAAAAGCUUUAGCAGACGAACUACACGAUCUUGUGCUAUGCUUAGGAUUGGGUCUUGUCCAUCACAUCAUUCUCCUAAUGAUGUAAUCCCGUUAUCAACGACAUCCAAUGUCCAUGGUCAGGAAACUGUAACCAUCUAUUGAUCAACGAGCUAGUCAACUAGAGGCUCACUAGGGACAUGUUGUGGUCUAUGUAUUCACACAUGUAUUACGAUUUCCGAAUAACACAAUUAUAGCAUGAACAAUAGACAAUUAUCAUGAACAAGGAAAUAUAAUAAUAACCAUUUUAUUAUUGCCUCUAGGGCAUAUUUCCAACAGUCUCCCACUUGCACUAGAGUCAAUAAUCUAGUUACAUUGUGAUGAAUCGAACACCCAUAGAGUUCUGGUUUUGAUCAUGCUUUGCACGUGGAAGAGGUUCAGUCAACGGAUCUGCGACAUUCAGGUCCGUAUGCACUUUACAAAUCUCUAUGUCUCCAUCUUGAACAUUUUCACGAAUGGAGUUGAAGCGACGCUUGAUAUGCCUGGUCUUCUUGUGAAACCUGGGCUCCUUGGCAAGGGCAAUUGCUCCAGUGUUGUCACAGAAGAGAGUCAUCGGGCCCGACACAUUGGGAAUAACUCCUAGGUCGGUAAUGAACUCCUUCAUCUAGAUUGCUUCAUGUGCUGCCUCCGAGGCUGCCAUGUACUCCGCUUCACAUGUAGAUCCCGCCACGACGCUUUGCUUGCAACGGCACCAGCUGACUGCCCCACCAUUCAAAAUAUACACAUAUCCGGUUUGUGACUUGGAGUCAUCCAGAUCUGUGUCGAAACUAGCAUCGACGUAACCCUUUACGACGAGCUCUUCGUCACCUCCAUAAACGAGAAACAUAUCCUUAGUCCUUUUCAGGUACUUCAGGAUAUUCUUGACCGCUGUCCAGUGUUCCAUGCCGGGAUUACUUUGGUACCUUCCUACCAAACUUACGGCAAGGUUUACAUCAGGUCUGGUACACAGCAUGGCAUACAUAAUAGACCCUAUGGCCGAGGCAUAGGGGAUGACACUCAUCUUUUCUCUAUCUUCUGCCGUGGUCGGGCAUUGAGCCGUGCUCAAUCUCACACCUUGUAAUACAGGCAAGAACCCCUUCUUGGACUGAUCCAUAUUGAACUUCUUCAAUAUCUUGUCAAGGUAUGUGCUUUGUGAAAGACCAAUGAGGCAUUUCAAUCUAUCUCUAUAGAUCAUGAUGCCCAAUAUAUAAGCAGCUUCUCCAAGGUCCUUCAUUGAAAAACACUUAUUCAAGUAGGCCUUUAUGCUUUCCAAGAGUUCUAUAUUAUUUCCCAUCAAUAGUAUGUCGUCCACAUACAAUAUGAGAAAUGCUACAGAGCUCCCACUCACUUUCUUGUAAACACAGGCUUCUCCAUAAAUCCGCGUAAACCCAAACGCUUUGAUCAUCUCAUCAAAACGAAUGCUCCAACUCCGAGAUGCUUGCACCAGCCCAUAGAUCGAGCGUUGGAGCUUGCAUACCUUGUCAGCAUUCUUAGGAUCGACAAAACCUUCCGGCUGCAUCAUAUACAAUUCUUCCUUAAGGAAACCAUUAAGGAAUGCCGUCUUGACGUCCAUUUGCCAUAUCUCAUAAUCAUAGAAUGCGGCAAUUGCUAACAUGAUUCGGACAGACUUUAGCUUCGCUACGGGUGACAAGGUCUCAUCGUAGUCAACCCCUUGAACUUGUCGAUAACCCUUAGCGACAAGCCGAGCUUUAUAGAUGGUCACAUUGCCAUCCGCGUCCGUCUUCUUCUUAAAGAUCCAUUUGUUUUCUAUGGCUCGCCGAUCAUCGGGCAAGUCCGUCAAAGUCCAUACUUUGUUUUCAUACAUGGAUCCUAUCUCGGAUUUCAUGGCUUCAAGCCAUUUAUUGGAAUCUGGGCCCGCCAUCGCUUCUUCAUAGUUCAAAGGUUCACCAUUGUCUAACAACAUUAUUUCUAGGACAGGGUUGCCAUACCAUUCUGGCGUGGAAUGUGUCCUUGUGGACCUACGAAGUUCAGUAGUAACUUGAUCCGAAGUUCCUUGAUCAUCAUCAUUAACUUCCUCUCUAGUCGUCUUGAGCUGCGCUACCUUCCGGUUCAAGAGGCAGUACUUCAUCAAGUUCUACUUUCCUCCCACUUACUUCUUUCGAGAGAAACUCUUUCUCUAGAAAGGAUCCAUUCUUGGCAACAAAGAUCUUGCCUUCGGAUCUGAGGUAGAAGGUAUACCCAAUAGUUUCCUUAGGGUAUCCUAUGAAGACGCAUUUUCCCGACUUGGGUUCGAGCUUUUCAGGUUGAAGUUUCUUGACAUAAGCAUCGCAUCCCCAAACUUUUAGAAACGACAGCUUAGGUUUCUUCCCAAACCAUAAUUCAUACGAUGUCGUCUCAACGGAUUUCGACGGAGCCCUAUUUAAAGUGAAUGCAAUUGUCUCUAAAGCAUAUCCCCAAAAUGAUAGCGGUAGGUCGGUAAGAGACAUCAUAGAUUGCACCAUGUCCAACAAAGUGCGAUUACGACGUUCGGACACACCAUUACGCUGAGGUGUUCCAGGCGGCGUGAGUUGUGAAACAAGUCCACAUUUCCUUAAGUGUGUGCCAAAUUCGUGACUCAAAUAUUCUCCCCCACGAUCUGAUCGUAAGAACUUUAUUUUCCUGUCACGUUGAUUCUCAACCUCACUCUGAAAUUCCUUGAACUUUUCAAAGGUCUCAGACUUGUGUUUCAUUAAGUAGACAUACCCAUAUCUACUUAAGUCAUCAGUGAGGGUGAGAACAUAACGAUAACCACCGCGAGCUUCAACGAUCAUUGGACCGCACACAUCAGUAUGUAUGAUUUCCAAUAAGUUGGUUGCUCGCUCCAUUGUUCCGGAGGACGGAGUCUUGGUCAUUUUGCCCAUGAGGCAUGGUUUGCACGUGUCAAAUGAUUCAUAAUCAAGAGACUCCAAAAGUUCAUCUGCAUGGAGUUUCUUCAUGCGUUUGACACCAAUGUGACCAAGGCGGCAGUGCCACAAGUAUGUGGGACUAUCAUUAUCAACCUUACAUCUUUUGGCAUUCACACUUUGAAUAUGUGUAACAUCACGUUCGAGAUUCAAUAAGAAUAAACCAUUGACCAGCGGGGCAUGACCAUAAAACAUAUCUCUCAUAUAAAUAGAACAACCAUUAUUCUCAGAUUUAAAUGAGUAGCCAUCUCGCAUUAAACGAGAUCCAGAUACAAUGUUCAUGCUCAAAGAUGGCACUAAAUAACAAUUAUUGAGGUUUAAAACUAAUCCCGUAGGUAAAUGUAGAGGUAGCAUGCCGACGGCGAUCACAUCGACCUUGGAACCAUUCCCGACGCGCAUCGUCACCUCGUCCUUCGCCAGUCUCCGCUUAUUCCGCAGCUCCUGUUUUGAGUUACAAAUAUGAGCAACCGCACCAGUAUCAAAUACCCAGGAGCUACUACGAGCGCUGGUUAGGUACACAUCUAUAACAUGUAUAUCACAUAUACCUUUGGUAUUGCCGGCCUUCUUAUCCGCUAAGUACUUGGGGCAGUUUCGCUUCCAGUGACCGUUUACCUUGCAAUAAAAGCACUCUGUUUCAGGCUUGGGUCCAUGCUUUGGCUUCUUCCUGGUAACUGGCUUACCGGGCGCGGCAACUCCCUUGCCGUCCUUCUUGAAGUUCUUUUUACCCUUGCCUUUCUUGAACUUAGUGGUUUUAUUCACCAUCAACACUUGAUGUUCCUUUUUGAUCUCCACCUCCGCUGAUUUCAGCAUUGAAUAUACCUCAGGAAUGGUCUUUUCCAUCCCCUGCAUAUUGAAGUUCAUCACAAAGCUCUUGUAGCUAGGUGGGAGCGACUGAAGGAUUCUGUCAACGACCGCAUCAUCCGGGAGAUUAACUCCCAGCUGACAUAAGCGGUUGUGCAACCCAGACAUUUUGAGUAUGUGCUCGCUGACAGAACUAUUCUCCUCCAUCUUACAACUAUAGAACUUAUCGGAGACUUCAUAUCUCUCGACCCGGGCAUGAGCUUGGAAAACCAUUUUCAGCUCUUGGAACAUCUCAUAUGCUCCGUGUUGCUCAAAACGCUUUUGGAGCCCCGGUUCAAACCUGUAAAGCAUGCCGCACUGAACCAGGGAGCAAUCAUCACUACGCGACUGCCAGGCGUUCAUAACGUCUUGAGUUGCUGGGAAAACAGGUGCCUCACCAAGCGGUGCUUCAAGGACAUAUGCUUUCUUGGCAGCUAUGAGGAUAAUCCUCAAGUUACGGACCCAGUCCGUGUAGUUGCUACCAUCGUCUUUCAGCUUGGUUUUCUCUAGGAACGCGUUGAAGUUGAGGGCAACAUUAGCGUGGGACAUUUGAUCUACAAGACAUAUUGCAAAGUUUUAGACUAUGUUCAUGAUAAUUAAGUUCAUCUAAUUAAAUUAUUUAAUGAACUCCCACUCAGAUAGACAUCCCUCUAGUCAUCUAAGUGAUACAUGAUCCGAGUCAACUAGGCCGUGUCCGAUCAUCACGUGAGACGGACUAGUCAUCAUCGGUCAACAUCUUCAUGUUGAUCGUAUCUUCUAUAUGACUCAUGUUCGACCUUUCGGUCUUCCGUGUUCCGAGGCCAUGUCUGUACAUGCUAGGCUCGUCAAGUCAACCUAAGUGUAUUGCGUGUGUAAAUCUGGCUUACACCCGUUGUAUUCGAACGUUAGAAUCUAUCGCACCCGAUCAUCACGUGGUGCUUCGAAACAAUGAACCUUCGCAAUGGUGCACAGUUAGGGGGAACACUUUCUUGAAAUUAUUGUGAGGGAUCAUCUUAUUUAAGCUACCAUCGUUCUAAGCAAAUAAGAUGUAAAACAUGAUAAACAUCACAUGCAAUCAAAUAGUGACAUGAUAUGGCCAAUAUCAUUUUGCUCCUUUUGAUCUCCAUCUUCGGGGCGCCAUGAUCAUCAUCGUCACCGGCAUGACACCAGGAUCUCCAUCAUCGUGUCUUCAUGAAGUUGUCUCGCCAACUAUUACUUCUACUACUAUGGCUAACGGUUAGCAAUUAAGUAAAGUAAUUACAUGACGUUUAUGUUGACACGCAGGUCAUAAAUAAAUUAAGACAACUCCUAUGGCUCCUGUCGGUUGUCAUACUCAUCGACAUGCAAGUCGUGAUUCCUAUUACAAGAACAUGGUCAAUCUCAUGCAUCACAUAUAUCAUUCAUCACAUCCUUUUGGCCAUAUCACAUCACACGGCAUAUGCUGCAAGAACAAGUUAGACGUCCUCUAAUUGUUGUUGCAAAUUUUACGUGGCUGCUAUAGGUUUCUAGCAAGAACGUUUCUUACCUACGCCAAAACCACAACGUGAUAUGCCAAUUUCUAUUUACCCUUCGUAAGGACCCUUUUCAUCGAAUCCGAUCCGACUAAAGUGGGAGAGACAGACACCCGCUAGCCACCUUAUGCAACUAGUGCAUGUCAGUCGGUGGAACCUGUCUCACGUAAGCGUACGUGUAAGGUCGGUCCGGGCCGCUUCAUCCCACGGUGCCGCCGAAUCAAGAUAAGACUAGUAACGGCAAGUAAAUUGACAAAAUCGACGCCCACAACAACUUGUGUUCUACUCGUGCAUAGAAACUACGCAUAGACCUAGCUCAUGAUGCCACUGUUGGGGAUCGUUGCAGAAAUUAAAAAAUUUUCUACGCAUCACCAAGAUCAAUCUAUGGAGUUUACUAGCAACGAGAGGGGAGUGCAUCUUCAUACCUUUGAAGAUCGUGAUGCGGAAGCGUUGCAAGAUAGUGGUCGGUGGAGUCAUACACGAAGCGAUUCAGAUCACGGCCGAUUCCGAUCUAAGCACCGAACAACGGUGCCUCCGCGUUCAACACACGUGCAGCCCGGUGACGUCUCCCGCGCCUUGAUCAGCAAGGAGAGAGGGAGAGGUUGGGGAAGACUCCGUCCAGCAGCAGCACGACGGCGUGGUGGUGGUGGAGGAGCGUCGCACUCCAGCAGGGCUUCGCCAAUCACUGCGAGAGACGAGGAGGGAGAGGGGUAGGGCUGCGCCAAGAGAGAGGGAGACUCGUGUUUCUGGCAGCCCCAAAACCCCCACUAUAUAUAGGGGAAGGGGAGGGGGCCGGCCCCCUAGAUCCAUCUAGAGGGGGGCGGCGGCCCCUCGGGGGGGCAGCGGCCCCCUUAGGGUUUCCAACUAGGGGGGCGCCCGCCCCCAAGGGGGACAGCGGCCCCCCUAGGGUUUCCAACCCUAGGCGCCUUGGGCCCUUGGGGGGGCGCACCAGCCCACUAAGGGGCUGGUUCCCACCCAACUACAGCCCAUUAGGUCCUUCGGGGCAGGUGGACCCUCCCGGUGGACCCCCGGAACCCCUUCGGUGGUCCCGGUACAAUACCGAUAAACCCCAAAACCUUUCCGGUGACUGAAACUGGACUUCCCAUAUAUAAAUCUUCACCUCCGAACCAUUCCGGAACUCCUCGUGACGUCAGGGAUCUCAUCCGGGACUCUGAACAACAUUCGGUAACCACGUACAUCUAUUCCCUAUAACCCUAGCGUCAUCGAACCUUAAGUGUGUAGACCCUACGGGUUCGGGAAUUAUGCAGACAUGACCGAGACAUCUCUCCGGCCAAUAACCAACAGCGGGAUCUGGAUACCCAUGUUGGCUCCCACAUGUUCCACAAUGAUCUCAUCGGAUGAACCACGAUGUCAAGGAUUCAAUCAAUCCCGUGUACGAUUCGCUUUGUCUACCGGUAUAGCACUUGCCCGAGAUUCGAUCGUCAGUAUACCGAUACCUUGUUCAAUCUCGUUACGGCAAGUCUCUUUACUCAUUCCGUAACACAUCAUCCCGUGACCAACCCCUUAGUCACAUUGAGCUCAUUACGAUGAUGUCUUACCGAGUGGGCCCAGAGAUACCUCUCCGGCAUACGAAGUGACAAAUCCCAGUCUCGAUUCGUGCCAACCCAACAGAUACUUUCGGGGAUACCCGUAGUGUACCUUUAUAGCCACCCAGUUACGUUGUGACGUUUGGCACACCCAAAGCAUUCCUACGAUAUCCGGGAGUUGCACAAUCUCAUGGUCUAAGGAAAUGAUACUUGACAUUAGAAAAGCUUUAGCAGACGAACUACAUGAUCUUGUGCUAUGCUUAGGAUUGGGUCUUGUCCAUCACAUCAUUCUCCUAAUGAUGUAAUCCCGUUAUCAACGACAUCCAAUGUCCAUGGUCAGGAAACUGUAACCAUCUAUUGAUCAACGAGCUAGUCAACUAGAGGCUCACUAGGGACAUGUUGUGGUCUAUGUAUGCACACAUGUAUUACGAUUUCCGAAUAACACAAUUAUAGCAUGAACAAUAGACAAUUAUCAUGAAUAAGGAAAUAUAAUAAUAACCAUUUUAUUAUUGCCUCUAGGGCAUAUUUCCAACACUUGUAUAGGGCCUUAGAAUGAGAAGAAGACAAGAUACAUCUCUGUUGCAAUCGGACACAUACAAAUAAUGUCAAGUACAAAAAGUCAUUCCAAUAAUCCCAUGCACAAAUACAUAGGGUUGCAAGGCCUUGCCUCAACCCAUUGCCUUACAAAAUUACUCAUACUAGUAAGGUACACGUGCAUUGCACGCAUGAGAUUUGGCAACCAAAUUAUGGAUAAAUACCACACUAUAGCAUGUAACCUUUGAGUCAUAUAUGCAUGAUGUAGAUGUUCGUUUAAUUCUUAUAGUUCAUCUCAUUCAAAAUCAAUUAGUUUUUAUAAAAAAGUUGAUCUAUUUUAAGAUUCAUGGAAUUGUGCGUUGUAAAGAAUAAAGUAAAAACAAAUAAUGGCAAUUCAUCUAGACAAAAAGUUUGGGCAAUUAUGAUACGAAAGAGUCUAGAACAAAGGAGAAGUGCGUGUGUUUUGAGAUUUGUGCAUUAUGCUUAAGUUCAACCAUGGAGUCUUCUAGAUUGUACAUGUGGAAGAAUCUGGUGGAAUGUAGAUGAUAUCCAACGGCCAGUAGUGCUCGGAUUUGCCAUCUUUGCACUAUCGGAUUGGCUUCAUCCAAUGACCAUCUUUCAAAGUUAUUCGCACACUAUAUAGGGGUUCAGACAUGGCGAUCGAGUCGCAAGAUGAACUCAUUGAAGAUGACAUAAAGAUGAAUGUUUGAUUGAUAAUAUGGCUUGCAAUAACUGUCGGAUGUGAUAAACCGAUUACAAGUAUGACUAACUUUGAGAGGAAUGAUGUGGUGAUGAUGGUGACGUCGGCCAUGGAGAUGAGGUGGGCAAUGGUGGCAGCAGGGGUUGGAAGAUGGGUUCUACUCCCUCCGUUCCAAAUUACUCGUCAUGGUUUUAGUUCAAAUUUGAACUAAAAGCACGACGAGUAAUUUGGAACGGAGGGAGUAGUUCUCUGUUCAGUGAAUGGUUCUCUCCCUGUUGAUAUUUUGGUGUCAACUUCUUUAUAGAAGCUGGUCAGGUGAACCAUUUGAAGCUGGUGUUAUGUCGUACGAGUGGCGGUACGAGCUGGUGUGCUUGUACCAUGUGUUGUCUUGCGCUCUGUUUUGCCUACUGCACCUCCUAUUGACAUGCCUCUUCCACUAAACUUCGUACUUCCUUGUAUAUGAUGAUAUCCUCCCAUAUUUAUGCCCUUUUCCUGCAGAAGCACAUUAAACAAAGGAUUUACUAAUCUCGCAUUCAUUAGUCAUUAGUGGCAAUAUCAGAGUGAUUUUGUCCGAAAUUUCGAGAUUAUCAGCUUUAAGCAACGAUGCGAUGAGCGUAAAAACAUCACUCAUCACCAAUCUCAUGAAAUAGACUCGUAUGACUGUCGUAUUCCAUAGCCCAAUUAGGAUUGUGGCCCUUCAUACAAAGAAGUGGUGGAACCUAUAAAAAAUAAACAACCUAUUGCUUUCCUUCCUACUCAAUAACAACAAUUGAACAGUAGAUCUAAUUACCUGCCCUCUUUCGAUGGCCCUUGCAUGAUGCUUCGCUUCAUAAGAACCAUCAAGUCUAGGGUACCUAUUAACCCCCGCCAUCCUACAUAAUACAUAUAGGUAUAUUAAUACAAGCUACCAUAUCAUAAAUGUCCAUUUAUUUGUGAUCAUAUUUAUCCAAUGCCUAGAAGUUCAUGAAAAUCACAUAAAUAUGCCAACAAGUUUUUUAUCCAUAGACAUUACAAAGUUCAAACAAAUUUAAACAUAAACUUAUAAUUUAUUUUAGUGCUCAACAAACAGCCAACAAUACCUAUAUCCUACUAACAUGCCACUAACUUUUGAUGAAUGAUAUACAAUCAUAAAUACAUUUGAACAAUCAUAUACAAUCCCAAUGAUAAUUCUCUCUAAAUCACAUACAUAUUUCACCAAAACAUAGCCAUAUACAUAGAUAAUCCCUAAAUUUUUCGCUCUAAAGCAAGGAUUCCACGAUAAAUACAUGAUAGUUCAACUAUCUGUUGCUUCUCAACCAAAUCUAGCCCAAAUAAUCUUCAAUUUUGGGGGAAACUACUUUUAGCGUUUCACCAAUACACAAAAAUGCACCUAAAAUAGCAUAUUUGAAACGCAGAGAAUUGGAGGAAUAGGGGAGAAUACCUCAACAAGUUGGGAGGCUCAAAUCCACAAGUUUUGGCGGGCAAACACCUCGAUUUUAGGGGUAUUUGAUGGAGGAGAGAGGGGCGACGCCUCUGUUCUUCGUGGCGAAGUCGCCCCUGUUCUUCAUGGCGACGGGGAGGAAGACGACCCCAUGGGGUUGCGAAUGGGUUGGGUCCCACCCGCAAACACUUGCCUAUUUGCGGAAGAAAUAUCAAGGCCUGGAGUGUUUCCAAAAACACGUUUCACUUCGGUGUUUCCCCUGCCACGUAGGCGUUCAAUGGUGACUUGACCAGGUCGUGGGCAAGGCCAGAAAUACAAUUCACUUUAGUGUGUCUAGCUGGAGUAGAAAUGCCCGGAGGCUGCGUGUUUACCAAAAGAGUCAGAUCGUGCUAAAGUUCCUGAUAGCGUCAAUUUUUUUUAGAAAAGGAGGAUUACCCCAGCCUCUGCAUCUGGACGAUGCAUGCAGCCAUUUUAUUAAUUAUUCACCAAGACCUUACAAAGUAGUACAUCAGGUAGUCUGAAGCCACCAUCUUAGCAAUAGUUGUCUCUACUCCUAUCCACUUGAUGAAGGUGUGCCGAUAGUCCGAGCCUAAUACCAAACAUAUAUCGCACAAAUGAAGGAAAUAUGCCCUAGAGGCAAUAAUAAAGUUUUUAUUUAUAUUUCCUUAUAUCAUGAUAAAUGUUUAUUAUUCAUGCUAGAAUUGUAUUAACCGGAAACUUAGUACAUGUGUGAAUACAUAGACAAACAGAGUGUCACUAGUAUGCCUCUAUUUGACUAGCUCGUUAAUCCAAGAUGGUUAAGUUUCCUAGCCAUAGACAUGAGUUGUCAUUUGAUGAAUGGGAUCACAUCAUUAGAGAAUGAUGUGAUUGACAAGACCCUGAUACGUCUCCAACGUAUCUAUAAUUUUUUAUUGUUCCAUGCUAUAUUAUAUUCUGUUUUGGAUGUUUAAUGGGCUUUAUUAUACACUUUUAUAUCAUUUUUGGGACUAACCUAUUAACCGGAGGCCCAGCCCAAAUUGCUGUUUUUUGCCUAUUUCAGUGAUUGGCAGAAAAAGAAUAUCAAACGGAGUCCAAACGGAAUGAAACCUUCAGGAACGUGAUUUUCGGAACGAACGUGAUCCAGAGGACUUGGACCCUACGUCAAGAAAGCAACCAGGAGAGCACGAGGUAGGGGGGCGCGCCUACCCCCAGGGCGCACCCUCCACCCUCGUGGGGCCCAUGUUGCUCCACCGACGUACUUCUUCCUCCUAUAUAUACCUACGUACCCCCAAACCAACAUAAGCAUCCACGAAAACCUCAUUCCACCGCUGCAACCUUCUGUACCCGUGAGAUCCCAUCUUGGGGCCUUUUCCGGCGUCCUGCCGGAGGGGGCAUUGAUCACGGAGGUCUUCUACAUCAACACCAUAGCCUCUCCGAUGAUGUGUGAGUAGUUUACCUCAGACCUUCGGGUCCAUAGUUAUUAGCUAGAUGGCUUCUUCUCUCUCUUUGGAUCUCAAUACCAUGUUCUCCCCGAUUAUCGUGGAGAUCUAUUCGAUGUAAUCUUCUUUUGCGGUGUGUUUGUUGAGACCGAUGAAUUGUGGGUUUAUGAUCAAGUUUAUCUAUGAACAAUAUUUGAAUCUUCUCUGAAUUCUUUUAUGUAUGAUUGGUUAUCUUUGCAAGUCUCUUCGAAUUAUCAGUUUGGUUUGGCCUACUAGAUUGAUCUUUCUUGCAAUGGGAGAAGUGCUUAGCUUUGGGUUCAAUCUUGCGGUGUCCUUUCCCAGUGACAGCAGGGGCAGCAAGGCACGUAUUGUAUUGUUGCCAUCGAGGAUAACAAGAUGGGGUUUAUAUCAUAUUGCAUGAGUUUAUCCCUCUACAUCAUGUCAUCUUACUUAAAGCAUUACUCUGUUCUUAUGAACUUAAUACUCUAGAUGCAUGCUGGAUAGCGGUCGAUGUGUGGAGUAAUAGUAGUAGAUGCAGGCAGGAGUCGGUCUACUUGUCUCGGACGUGAUGCCUAUAUACAUGAUCAUACCUAGAUAUUCUCAUAACUAUGCUCAAUUCUAUCAAUUGCUCAACAGUAAUUUGUUUACCCACCGUAAUAUUUAUGCUCUUGAGAGAAGCCACUAGUGAAACCUAUGCCCCCCGGGUCUAUUUUCCAUCAUAUUAAUCUUCCAACACUUAGUUAUUUCUUGCGCCGUUUAUUUUGCUUUCUUUACUUUUAAUCUUUAUCCUAAAAAUACCAAAAAUAUUAUCUUAUCAUAUCUAUCAGAUCUCACUCUCGUAAGUGACCGUAGAGGGAUUGACAACCCCUUUAUCGCGUUGGUUGCGAGGUUUUUGUUUGUUUGUGUAGGUGCGAGGGACUCGUGCGUGGUCUCCUACUGGAUUGAUACCUUGGUUCUCAAAAACUGAGGGAAAUACUUACGCUACUUUACUGCAUCACCCUUUCCUCUUCAAGGGAAAACCAACGCAGUGCUCAAGAGGUAGCAAGAAGGAUUUCUGGCGCCGUUGCCGUGGAGUCUAUGCAAAAGUCAACAUACCAAGUACCCAUCACAAACUCAUCUCCCACGCAUUACAUUAUUUGCCAUUUGCCUCUCGUUUUCCUCUCCCCCACUUCACCCUUGCAGUUUUAUUCGCCCUCUCUUUUCCAUUCGCCUCUUUUUCGCUUGCUUCUUCUUUGCUCAUUUGUUGGAUUGCUUGCUUGUCACGAUGGCUCAAGAUAAUACUAAAUUGUGUGACUUUAUCAAUACCAAGAACGAUGAUUUUCUUAGCACCCCGAUUGCUCCUCUUACCGAUCCUGAAUCCUGUGAAAUUAAUGCUGCUUUAUUGAAUCUUGUCAUGAAAGAUCAAUUCGCCGGCCUUCCUAGUGAAGAUGCCGCUACCCAUCUAAAUAGCUUCGUUGAUUUGUGUGAUAUGCAAAAGAAGAAAGAUGUGGACAAUGAUAUUGUUAAAUCGAAGCUAUUUCCUUUUUCGCUUAGAGAUCGCGCUAAGCUUGGUUUUCGUCUUUGCCUAAAAAUAGUAUUGAUUCAUGGAAUAAGUGCAAAGAUGCUUUUAUCUCUAAGUAUUUUCCUCCCGCUAAAAUCAUCUCUCUUAGAAAAGAUAUUAUGAAUUUUAAGCAACUUGAUCAUGAACAUGUUGCACAAGCUUGAGAGAGGAUUAAAUUAAUGAUACGUAAUUGCCCUACACAUGGUUUGAAUCUUUGGAUGAUUAUACAAAAAAUUUAUGCCGGAUUGAAUUUUGCUUCUAGAAAUCAUUUAGAUUCGGCCGUGGGAGGCACUUUUAUGAAAAUCACUUUAGGAGAAGCUACUAAACUCCUAGAUAAUAUUAUGGUUAAUUAUUCUCAAUGGCACACCGAAAGAUCUACUAAUAAAAAAGUGCAUGCGAUAGAAGAAAUUAAUGUUUUGAGUGGAAAGAUGGAUGAACUUAUGAAAUUAUUUGCUAUUAAAAGUGUUUCUUCUGAUCCUAAUGAUAUGCCUUUGUCUACUUUGAUUGAGAAUAAUAACGAAUCUAUGGAUGUGAAUUUUGUUGGUAGGAAUAAUUUUGGUAACAACGCGUAUAGAGGAAACUUUAAUCCUAGGCCAUAUCCUAGUAAUGCCUCUAAUAAUUAUGGUAAUUCCUACAACAACUCUUAUGGAAAUUUUAAUAAGAUGCCCUCUGAAUUUGAGACUAGUGUUAAGGAGUUUAUGAAUUCGCAAAAGAAUUCCAAUGCUUUGCUUGAAGAAAAAUUGCUCAAAGUUGAUGAAUUGGCUAGGAACGUUGAUAGAAUUUCUUGAUGUUGAUUCUUUGAAACUUAGAUCUAUUCCACCCAAGCAUGGUAUCAAUGAGUCUCUCAAAGCCAUGAGAAUUUCCAUUGAUGAGUGCAAAGAAAGAACCGCUAGGAUGCGUGCUAAGAAAGAUUGCUUUGUGAAGGCGUGUUCUUCUAACUUUUAUGAAAAUAAAGAUGAAGAUCUAAAAGUUAUUGAUGUGUCCCCUAUUAAAUCUUUGUUUUGCAAUAUGAAUCCUGAUAAUGAUGGGACUGAAUAUGAACCACCUUUACCUAGAAGGCAUUCCAAAAAUUCGGAGUCUUUAGAUCUUGAUGCUAAAAUUGGUAAAAGUGGGAUUGAAAAGAUCAGAACUCUAGAUAUUAAUGAACCCACUAUUUUGGAUUUCAAGGAAUUUAAUUAUGAUAAUUUCUCUUUGAUAGAUUGUAUUUCCUUGUUGCAAUCUGUGCUAAAUUCUCCUCAUGCUUAUAGCCAAAAUAAAGCUUUUACUAAACAUAUCGUUGAUGCUUUGAUGCAAUCUUAUGAAGAAAAACUUGAGUUGGAAGUUUCUAUCCCUAGAAAACUUUAUGAUGCGUGGGAGCAUACUAUUAAAAUUAAAAUUAAAGAUCAUGAAUGCUAUGCUUUGUGUGAUUUGGGUGGUUUCCACGAUUCCAAAAACUUUAUGUGAUUUGCUAGGUUUCCGUGAUUUUGAUGAUUGCUCUUUAAACUUGCACCUUGCGGAUUCCACUAUCAAGAAACCUAUGGGAAGAAUUAAUGAUGUUCUUAUUGUCACAAAUAGGAAUAUGUGCCCGUAGAUUUUAUUGUUCUUGAUAUAGAUUGCAAUCCUUCAUGUCCUAUUAUUCUUGGUAGACCUUUCCUUAGAACGAUUGGUGCAAUUAUCGAUAUGAAGGAAGGGAAUAUUAGAUUCCAAUUUCUGUUAAGGAAAGGCAUGGAACACUCCCCUAGAAAGAAAAUAAAAUUACCUUAUGAAUCUAUUAUGAGAGCCACUUAUGGAUUGCCUACCAAAGAUGGCAAUACCUAGAUCUAUCCUUGCUUUUAUGCCUAGCUAGGGGUGUUUAACGAUAGCGCUUGUUGGGAGGCAACCCAAUUUUAUUUUUAGGUUUUUGCUUUUUGCUUCUGUUUAGGAAUAAAUAUUUGUUCUAGCCUCUGGUUAGAUUUGUUUUUAUGUUUUAAUUAGUGUUUGUGCCAAGUUAAACCUAUAGGAUCUUCUUGGAUGAUAGUUAUUUGAUCUUGCUGAAAAUUCCAGAAACUUUAUGUUCACGAAAAUAAUUGUUAAAAAUCAAUAGAAUGUGGUAAAUAUUGAUUCCAAUUGCUGCUUAUCAAUAAACAAAUUGUCUAGGUCGUCCUAUUUUGGCUGAAUUUUUUUGAGUUCCAGAACUUUGCGUUAGUUACAGAUUACUACAGACUUUUUGACAGAUUCUGUUUUUCGUGUGUUGUUUGCUUAUUUUGAUGAAUCUAUGGCUAGUAAAAUAGUUUAUAAACCAUAGAGAAGUUGGAAUACAGUAGGUUUAACACCAAUAUAAAUAAACAAUGAGUUCAUUACAGUACCUUGAAGUGGUGUUUUGUUUUCUUUCGCUAACGGAGCUCACGAGAUUUUCUGCUAAGUUUUGUGUUGUGAAGUUUUCAAGUUUUGGGUAGAAGAUUUGAUGGAUUAUGGAACAAGGAGUGGCAAGAGCCUAAGCUUGGGGAUGCCCAUGGAACCCCAAGAUAAUCUAAGGACACCAAAAAGCCAAAGCUUGGGGAUGCCCCGGAAGGCAUCCCCUCUUUCGUCUACUUCCAUCGGUAACUUUACUUGGAGCUAUAUUUUUAUUCACCACAUGAUAUGUGUUUUGCUUGGAGCGUCUUGUAUUAUUUGAGUCUUUGCUUUUUAGUUUACCACAAUCAUCCUUGCUGUACACACCUUUUGAGAGAGACACACACAAAUCGGAAUUUAUUAGAAUACUCUAUGUGCUUCACUUAUAUCUUUUGAGCUAUAUAGUUUUUGCUCUAGUGCUUCACUUAUACUUUUUAGAGCACGGCGGUGGUUGUAUUUUAUAGAAAUUAUUGAUCUCUCAUGCUUCACUUAUAUUAUUUUGAGAGUCUUAAAACAGCAUGGCAAAUUGCUUUAAUUAUAAUAUCAUGAGAAAUUUGAUGCUUGAUAAUUGUUUUGAGAUAUAAAGGUGGUAAUAUCAUAGUUGUGCUAGUUGAGUAAUUGUGAAAUUGAGAAAUACUUUUGUUGGAGUUUGUGAUUCCCGUAGCAUGCACGUAUGGUGAACUGUUAUGUAACAAAGUCGGAGCAUGAGGUAUUUGUUGAUUGUCAUCCUUUGUGUGGCGGUCGGGAUCGCGCGAUGGUUAACUCCUACCAACCCUUCCCCUAGGAGCAUGCGUAGUAGUACUUUGCUUCGAGGGCUAAUAAAUUUUUGCAAUAAGUAUAUGAGUUCUUUAUGACUAAUGAGAGUCCAUGGAUUAUACGCACACUUACCUUUCCGCAAUUUUCUAGCCUCUUCGGUACCGUGCAUUGCCCUUUCUCACCUUGAGAGUUGGUGCAAACUUCGCCGGUGCAUCCAAACCCCCGUGAUAUGAUACGCUCUAUCACACAUAAACCUCCUUAUAUCUUCCUCAAAACAGCCACCAUACCUACCUAUUAUGGCAUUUCCAUAGCCAUUCCGAGAUAUAUUGCCAUGCAACUUUCCACCGUUUCGUUUAUCAUGACACGCUCCAUCAUUGUCAUAUUGCUUCGCAUGAUCAUGUAGUUGACAUCGUAUUUGUGGCAAAGCCACCGUUCAUAAUUCUUUCAUACAUGUCGCUCUUGAUUCAUUGCAUAUCCCGGUACACCGCUGGAGGCAUUCACAUAGAGUCAUAUCUUGUUCCAAGUAUUGAGUUGUAAUUCAUGAGUUGUAAGUAAAUAAAAGUGUGAUGAUCAUCAUUAUUAGAGCAUUGUCCCAAGUGAGGAAAGGAUGAUGGAGACCAUGAUUCCCCCACAAGUCGGGAUGAGACUCCGGACUAAAAAAAGAGCCCAUAAAGAAAGGAGAGAAAAGGCCCCAAUAAAAAAUGAGAAAAAAGAGAGAAGGGACAAUGUUACUAUCCUUUUACCACACUUGUGCUUCAAAGUAGCACCGUGAUCUUCAUGAUAGAGAGUCUCUCAUUUUGUCACUUUCAUAUACUAGUGGGAAAUUUCAUUAUAGAACUUGGCUUGUAUAUUCCAAUGAUGGGCUUCCUCAAAUGCCCGAGGUCUUCAUGAGCAAGCAAGUUGGAUGCACACCCACUUAGUUUCUUUUUUGAGCUUUCAUACACUUAUAGCUCUAGUGCAUCCGUUGCAUGGCAAUCCCUACUCCUUGCAUUGACAUCAAUUGAUGGGCAUCUCCAUAGCCCGUUGAUUAGCCUUGUCGAUGUUAGACUUUCUCCUUUUUUGUCUUCCCACAUAACCCCCAUCAUUAUACCUUAUUCCACCAUAGUGUUAUAUCCAUGGCUUGCGCUCAUGUAUUGCGUAAAAGUUGAAAAGGCUGAAGCGCAUUAAAAAGUAUGAACCAAAUGCUUGGCUAAAACCGGGGUUGUACAUGAUAUGAAUAUUUUGUGUGGGGAAGAUGGAGCAUAGCCAGACUAUAUGAUUUUGUAGGGAUAACUUGCUUUGGCUAUGUUAUUUUGAUAAGACAUAAUUGCUUGGUUAGCAUGCUUGAAGUAUUAUUAUUUUUAUGUCAACAUUAAACUUUUAUCUUGAAUCAUAUCGAAUCUGAACAUUCGUGCCACAAUAAGAAGAACUACAUUGAAAUUAUGCUAAAGUAGCAUUCCACAUCAAAAAUUCUGUUUUUAUCAUUUACCUACUCGAGGACGAGCAGGAAUUAAGCUUGGGGAUGCUUGAUACGUCUCCAACGUAUCUAUAAUUUUUUAUUGUUCCAUGCUAUAUUAUAUUCUGUUUUGGAUGUUUAAUGGGCUUUAUUAUACACUUUUAUAUCAUUUUUGGGACUAACCUAUUAACCGGAGGCCCAGCCCAAAUGGCUGUUUUUUUUGCCUAUUUCAGUGAUUCGCAGAAAAAGAAUAUCAAACGGAGUCCAAACGGAAUGAAACCUUCGGGAACGUGAUUUUCGGAAUGAACGUGAUCCAGAGGACUUGGACCCUAUGUCAAGAGGGCAACCAGGAGAGCACGAGGCAGGGGGGCACCUACCCCCCAGGGCGCGCCCUCCACCCUCGUGGGGCCCAUGUUGCUCCACCGACGUACUUCUUCCUCCUAUAUAUACCUACAUACCCCCAAACCAACAGAAGCAUCCACGAAAACCUAAUUCCACCGCCGCAACCUUCUGUACCCGUGAGAUCCCAUCUUGGGGCCUUUUCCGGCGUCCUGCCAGAGGGGGCAUUGAUCACGGAGGGCUUCUACAUCAACACCAUAGCCUCUCCGAUGAUGUGUGAGUAGUUUACCUCAGACCUUCGGGUCCAUAGUUAUUAGCUAGAUGGCUUCUUCUCUCUCUUUGGAUCUCAAUACCAUGUUCUCCCUGAUUCUCUUGGAGAUCGAUGUAAUCUUCUUUUGCGGUGUGUUCGUUGAGACCGAUGAAUUGUGGGUUUAUGAUCAAGUUUAUCUAUGAACAAUAUUUGAAUCUUCUCUGAAUUCUUUUAUGUAUGAUUGGUUAUCUUUGCAAGUCUCUUCGAAUUAUCAGUUUGGUUUGGCCUACUAGAUUGAUCUUUCUUGCAAUGGGAGAAGUGCUUAGCUUUGGGUUCAAUCUUGCGGUGUCCUUUCCCAGUGACAGCACGGGCAGCAAGGCACGUAUUGUAUUGUUUCCAUCGAGGAUAACAAGAUGGGGUUUAUAUCUUAUUGCAUGAGUUUAUCCCUCUACAUCAUGUCAUCUUACUUAAAGCGUUACUCUGUUCGUAUGAACUUAAUACUCUAGAUGCAUGCUGGAUAGCGGUCGAUGUGUGGAGUAAUAGUAGUAGAUGCAGGCAGGAGUCGGUCUACUUGUCUCGGACGUGAUGCCUAUAUACAUGAUCAUACCUAGAUACUCUCAUAACUAUGCUCAAUUCUACCAAUUGCUCAACAGUAAUUUGUUUACCCACCGUAAUAUUUAUGCUCUUGAGAGAAGCCACUAGUGAAACCUAUGGCCCCCGGGUCUAUUUUCCGUCAUAUUAAUCUUCCAACACUUAGUUAUUUCUUGCGCCGUUUAUUUUGCUUUCUUUACUUUUAGUCUUUAUCCUAAAAAUACCAAAAAUAUUAUCUUAUCAUAUCUAUCAGAUCUCACUCUCGUAAGUGACCGUAGAGGAAUUAACAACCCCUUUAUCGCGUUGGUUGCGAGGUUCUUGUUUGUUUGUGUACGUGCGAGGGACUCGUGCGUGGUCUCCUAAUGGAUUGAUACCUUGGUUCUCAAAAACUAAGGGAAAUACUCACGCUACUUUACUGCAUCACCCUUUCCUCUUCAAGGGGAAACCAACGCAGUGCUCAAGAGGUAGCAGACCCAUCCGUUAGCUUAGCACUAUGAUCGUUUAGUUUGUUGCUAUUGCUUUCUUCAUGACUUAUACAUGUUCCUAUGACUAUGAGAUUAUGCAACUCCCGAAUACCGGAGGAACACUUAGUGUGCUAUCAAACGUCACAACGUAACUGGGUGAAUAUAAAGAUGCUCUACAAGUGUCUCCGAUGGUGCUUGUUGAGUUGGCAUAGAUCGAGAUAAGGAUUUGUCACUCCGAUUGUCGGAGAGGUAUCUCUGGGCCCUCUCGGUAAUGCUCAUCACUAUAAGCCUUGCAAGCAAUGUAACUAAUGAGUUAGUUACGGGAUGAUGCAUUACGGAACGAGUAAAGAGACUUUCCGGUAACGAGAUUGGACUAGGUAUAGUGAUAUUGACGAUUGAAUCCCGGGCAAGUAACAUACCGAUGACAAAGGGAACAACGUAUGUUGUUAUGCGUUUUGACUGAUAAAGAUGUUCGUAGAAUAUGUGGGAGCCAAUAUGAGCAUCCAGGUUCCGCUAUUGGUUAUUGACCGGAGAUGAGUCUCGGUCAUGUCUACAUAGUUCUCGAACCCGUAGGGUCCGCACGCUUAACGUUCGAUAACUAUCGGUAUUAUGAGUUUAUGUGUUUUGAUGUACCGAAGGUAGUUCGGAGUCCCGGAUGAGAUCACGGACAUGACGAGGAGUCUCGAAAUGGUCGAGACGUAAAGAUCGAUAUAUUGGAAGGCUAUAUCCAGACAUCGGAAAGAUUCUGAGUGGUUCGGGUAUUUUUCGGAGUACCGGAGAGUUACGGGAAUUCGCCGGGUGAAGUAUUGGGCCUUCAUGGGCCUUAGUGGAAAGGAGAGAAGGGCCACAAGGGGAGGCCGCGCGCCCCCCAUGACUUGUCCGAAUUGGACUAGGGAGGGGGCGGUGCCCCCCUCUUUCCUUCUCCCUCUCCUACUCCUUCCCUCUCUCCCCUCUUGGAAAAGGAAGGGGACUCCAACUAGGAUUGGGAAUCCUAGUUGGACUCCCCCUAUAGGCGCGCCCCUCCUAGGCCGGCCUCCUCUUCCCCCCUCCUUUAUAUACGUGGCCAGGGGGCACCCCAUAGACACACAAGUUGAUCUUUAGGCGUGUGCGGUGCCCCCCUCCACAGUUUUACACCUCGGUCAUAUCGUCGUAGUGCUUAGGCGAAGCCCUGCGCCGGUAACUUCAUCAUCACCGUCACUACGCCGUCGUGCUGACGAAACUCUCCCUUGGCCUCGGCUGGAUCAAGAGUUCGAGGGACGUCACCGAGCUGAACAUGUGCAGAUCGCGGAGGUGCCGUGCGUUUGGUACUUGAUCGGUUGGAUCGCGAAGACGUUCGACUACAUCAACCGCGUUACUAAACGCUUCCGCUUUCGGUCUAUGAGGGUACAUGGACACACUCUUCCCACUCGUUGCUAUGUGAUAACCCACAAGUAUAGGGGAUCGCAACAGUUUUUAGGGUAGAGUAUUCAACCCAAAUUUAUUGAUUCGACACAAGGGGAGCCAAAGAAUAUUCUCAAGUAUUAGCAGUUCAGUUGUCAAUUCAACCACACCUAGAUAACUUAGUAUCUGCAGCAAAGUAUUUAGUAGCAAAGUAAUAUGGAAGUAACGGUAACGAUAGCAAAAGUAAUAUUUUUGGGUUUUGUAGUGAUUGUAACAGUAGCAACGGAAAAGUAAAUAAGCGAGGAACAAUAUAUGAAAAGCUCGUAGGCAUUGGAUCGGUGAUGGAGAAUUAUGCCGGAUGCGGUUCAUCAUGUAACAAUCAUAACAUAGGGUGACACAGAACUAGCUCCAAUUCAUCAAUGUAAUGUAGGCAUGUAUUCCGAAUAUAGUCAUACGUGCUUAUGGAAAAGAACUUGCAUGACAUCUUUUGUCCUACCCUCCCGUGGCAGCGGGGUCCUAAUGGAAACUAAGGGAUAUUAAGGCCUCCUUUUCAUAGAGUACCGGAACAAAGCAUUAGCACAUAGUGAAUACAUGAACUCCUCAAACUACGGUCAUCACCGGGCGUGGUCCCGAUUAUUGUCACUUCGGGGUUGCCGGAUCAUAACACAUAGUAGGUGACUAUAGACUUGCAAGAUAGGAUCAAGAACUCACAUAUAUUCAUGGAAACAUAAUAGGUUCAGAUCUGAAAUCAUGGCACUCGGGCCCUAGUGACAAGCAUUAAGCAUAGCAAAGUCAUAGCAACAUCAAUCUCAGAACAUAGUGGAUACUAGGGAUCAAACCCUAACAAAACUAACUCGAUUACAUGAUAGAUCUCAUCCAACCCAUCACCGUCCAGCAAGCCUACGAUGGAAUUAGUCACGCACGGCGGUGAGCAUCAUGAAAUUGGUGAUGGAGGAUGGUUGAUGAUGACGACGGCGACGGAUUCCCCUCUUCGGAGCCCCUAACGGACUCAAGAUCAGCCCUCCGAGAGGUUUUAGGGCUUGGCGGCGGCUCCGUAUCGUAAAACGCAAUGAAUCCUUCUCUCUGAUUUUUUUCUCCCCGAAAGUGAAUAUAUGGAGUUGGAGUUGAGGUCGGUGGAGCUUCAGGGGGCCCACGAGGCAGGGGGCGCGCCCUGGGGGGGCAGGUGUGCCCCCCACCCUCGUGGACAGGGUGUGGGCCCCCUGACGUGGAUUUUUCUUUCAGUAUUUUUAAUAUUUUUGAAAAAGAUGUUCCGUGGAGUUUCAGGUCAUUCUGAGAACUUUUGUUUCUGCACAUAAAUAACACCAUGGAAAGUCUGCUGAAAACAACGUCAGUCCGGGUUAGUUCCAUUCAAAUCAUGCAAGUUAGAGUCCAAAACAAGGGCAAAAGUGUUUGGAGAAGUAGAUACGACGGAGACGUAUCAACUCCCCCAAGCUUAAACCUUUGCUUGUCCUCAAGCAAUUCAGUUGAUAAACUGAAAGUGAUAAAGAAAAACUUUUACAAACUCGGUUUGCUCUUGUUGUUGCAAAUAUGUAAAGCCAGCAUUCAAGUUUUCGGCAAAGAUUAUGACUAACCACAUUCACAAUAACUCUUAGGUCUCAUGUUUACUCAUAUCAAUGGCAUAAUCAACUAGCGAGCAAUAAUAAUAAAUCUCGGAUGACAACACUUUCUCAAAACAAUCAUGAUAUAUAUAAUAGGAUGGUAUCUCACUAGCCCUUUCUGAGACCGCAAAACAUAAAUGCAGAGCACCUUUAAAGAUCAAGGACUGACUAGACAUUGUAAUUCAUGGUAAAAGAGAUCCAGUCAUAGUCAUACCCAAUAUAAAUUAACAGUAAUGGAUGCAAAUGACAGCAGUGCUCUCCAGCUGGUGCUUUUUAAUAAGAGGGUGAUGACUCAACAUAAAAGUAAAUAGAUAGGCCCUUCGCAGAGGGAAGCAGGGAUUUGUAGAGGUGCCAGAGCUCGAUUUUGAAAUAGAGAUAAAUAAUAUUUUGAGCGGCAUACUUUCAUUGUCAACAUAACAACCAAGAGAUGGCAAUAUCUUCCAUGCUACUCACAUUAUAGGCGGUUCCCAAACAGAAUGGUAAAGUUUAUACUCGCCCUCCACCAACAAGCAUCAAUCCAUUGCUUGCUCGAAACAAUGAGUGCCUCCAACUAGCAAUAGUCCCAGGGGGAGUUUUGUUUGCAAUUAUUUUGAUUUAGUUUGCAUAAAGCAUGGGACUGGGCAUCCUGGUGACUAGCCAUUUUCUCGUGAGUGAGGAGCGGAGUCCACUCCUCUUGAGAAUAACCCGCCUAGCAUGGAAGAUACGGACAACCCUAGUUGAUACAUGAGCUAUUCGAGCAUACAAAACAGAAUUUCAUUUGAAGGUUUGGAGUUUGGCACAUGCAAAUUUACUUGGAACGGCAGGUAGAUACCGCAUAUAGGAAGGUAUAGUGGACUCAUAUGGAAUAACUUUGGGGUUUAAGGGAUUGGAUGCACAAGCAGUAUUCCCGCUUAGUACAAGUGAAGGCUAGCAAAAGACUGGGAAGCGACCAACUAGAGAGCGACAACAGUCAUGAACAUGCAUUAAAAUUAAUAGACAUUGAGUACGAGCAUGAGUAGGAUAUAAUCCACCAUGAACAUAAAUAUCGUGAAGGCUAUGUUGAUUUGUUUCAACUACAUGUGUGAACAUGUGCCAAGUCGAGUCACUUAAAUCAUUCAAAGGAGGAUACCACCCCACUAUACCACAUCACAACCAUUUUAAUAGCAUGUUGGCACGCAAGGUAAACCAUUAUAACUCAUAGCUAAUCAAGCAUGGCACGAGCAACUAUGAUCUCUAAUUGUCAUUGCAAACAUGUUUAUUCAUAAUAGGCUGAAUCAGGAACGAUGAACUAAUCAUAUUUACAAAAACAAGAGAGGUCGAGUUCAUACCAGCUUCUCUCAUCUCAGUCAGUCCAUCAUAUAUCGUCAUAAUUGCCUUUCACUUGCACGACCGAACGAUGUGAAUAAUAAUAAGAGUGCACGUGCAUUGGACUAAGCUGGAAUCUGCGAGCAUUCAAUAAACAGGAGAAGACAAGGCAAUAUGGGCUCUUGGUUAAAUCAACAAUAAUGCAUAUAAGAGCCACUUCAACAAUUUAAUUAUGGUCUUCUCCUAUCGACCCCCAAAGAAAAGAAAAGAAAUAAAACUAUUUACACGGGAAAGCUCCCAACAAGCAAAAGAAGAACAGGAAAUAUGUUUGGGUUUUCUAUUAAUUAUUACUACUACAGAAAGAAAGGUAAAUUAACUAAAAGCUACUACUAUUUUUUUUGUUUUUCUUAAGGUUUAACAAACACACAAGAAGAAAGCAAGAAAAAGAAAAUAAACUAGCAUGGAUAUUACAGUGAAAGAGUAUGAGCACCGACAUCUAGCAAUGAGUGUGUGAACAUGAAUGUAAUGUCGGUGGGAAAUACGUACUCCCCCAAGCUUAGGCUUUUGGCCUAAGUUGGUUUAUUGCCACGGAUGGCCUGGCGGAUAUCCAUAGUUGUAGCUGGGGUCGUACUGCGCUGCGGCAGUUAUUGCCUCAUGAGCUGCAGCGUGACGGCGAGCUACCUCCGCCCUCCUCUCGUACUCAUCUGCCUCCUCUCUGGUAAUAAAAUGUCUUCCUUUUGCCUGAUAAUCAAAGAAGGCAGGAGCAGGGAGAGUAAUACGGACAGCACGACGUCUGUCAAAGAUUAAGCGAUACUGGAGAGGUGAUUCAUUCCUCUCGACAAACUGGUAGUGAACCAUAGCAUUAAAGUCUAGGUAAGUAGGAGGCAAUUCAAUAUCAUCAUCACGUAUGCUUACACCAAGAAAAUCAGCUAAGCGGGUUGCAUAAAUUCCACCAAAGAAAUCUCCAUUAAAUCUAUUAUGAUGCAACCUACGUGCUUGAGCUGGAUGGUGAUUUUUUUGGGAGGAAGAAGAAGUGUGUUGGUGCAGGAAUAAGGGGAGGGGAGCCACCAUGAGCCCACGAGGCAGGGGGCGCGCCCUCCACCCUCGUGGUCAGGUGCUUGCCCCUCCUGUUGUGUUCUCAGUGCCAGAUAUUCUCAAAUAUUCCAGAAAAAUCAUAUUCCAUUUUCAGGGCAUUUGGAGAACUUUUAUUUUCGGGGUAUUUUUAUAUUGCACGGAUAAAUCAGAAAACAGACAGAAAAAUACUAUUUUUACUUUAUUUCAACUAAAUAACAGAAAGUAGAAAGAGGGUGCAGAAGGUUGUGCCUUCUAGUUUCAUCCAUCUCAUGCUCAUCAAAAGGAAUCCACUAACAAGGUUGAUCAAGUCUUGUUAACAAACUCAUUUCGAAUAACAUGGAACCGGAGAAAUUUCGAAUAACACUAUGUUACCUCAACGGGGAUAUGCACAUCCCCAAUAAUAAGAAUAUCAAAUUUCUUCUUGACAGUAGGAAGAGGAAAUUCAAAACCUCCAAAAAUAAUCGAUGGAAUUUUUCCAAUAGAAUUGAUACUGUGGACUUGAGGUUGUUUCCUCGGAAAGUGUACCGUAUGCUCAUUACCAUUAACAUGAAAAGUGACAUUGCCUUUGUUGCAAUCAAUAACAGCCCCUGCAGUAUUCAAAAAGGGUCUUCCAAGAAUAAUAGACAUACUAUCGUCCUCAGGAAUAUCAAGAAUAACAAAGUCCGUUAAAAUAGUAACGUUUGCAACCACAACAGGCACAUCCUCACAAAUACCGACAGGUAUAGCAGUUGAUUUAUCAGCCAUUUGCAAAGAUAUCUCAGUAGGUGUCAACUUAUUCAAAUCAAGUCUAUGAUAUAAAGAGAGGGGCAUAACACUAACACCGGCUCCAAGAUCACAUAAAGCAGUUUUAACAUAGUUUCUUUUAAUGGAGCAUGGUAUAGUAGGUACUCCUGGAUCUCCAAGUUUCUUUGGUAUUCCACCUUUAAAAGUGUAAUUAGCAAGCAUGGUGGAAAUUUCAGCUUCCGGUAUCUUUCUUUUAUUAGUAACAAUAUCUUUCAUAUACUUAGCAUAAGGAUUCAUUUUGAGCAUAUCAGUUAAUCGCAUACGCAAAAAGAUAGGUCUAAUCAUUUCAGCAAAGCGCUCAAAAUCCACACCAUCCUUUUUCUGGGAUGGUUUGGGAGGAAAAGGCAUGGGUUUCUGAACCCAUGGUUCUCUUUCUUUACCGUGUUUCCUAGCAACAAAGUCUCUCUUAUCAUAACGUUGAUUCUUUGAUUGUGGGUUAUCAAGAUCAACAGCAAGUUCAGUUUCCACAUCAUUAUCAUUACUAGGUUGAGCAUCAUCAUGAACAUCAUCAUUAACAUUUUCAUUAGGUUCAUGUUCAUUACCAGAUUGUGUUUCAGCAUCGGAAAUAGAUAUAUCAUUUGGAUUCUCAGGUGGUUCAGCAAUAGGUUCACUAGAAGCAUGCAAAGUCCUAUCAUUUUUGUUUUUCUUCCUUUUAGAGGGACUAGGUGCAUCUAUAUUAUUUCUCUAAGAAUCUUGCUCAAUUCUCUUAGGGUGGCCUUCCGGAUACAAUGGUUCCUGAGUCAUCUUACCAGUUCUAGUAGCCACUCUAACAGCAUAAUCAUCAUUCUUACUAUUCAAUUCAUUGAGCAAAUCAUUUUGAGCCUUAAGUACUUGUUCUACCUGAGUGGUAACCAUAGAAGCAUGUUUACUAAUGAGUUUAAGUUCACCUUUAACUCUAGACAUAUAAUCACCCAAGUGUUCAAUCAUAUAAGCAUUUUGUUUUAAUUGUCUACCAAAAUAAGCAUUAAAAUCUUCUUACUUAACCAUAAAGUUAUCAAACUCAUCCAAACAUUGGCUAGCAAUUUUAGUAGGAGGGAUUUCAGCUUUAUCAUAUCUAUAGAGAGAAUUUACCUUUACUACCUGUGUCGGGUUAUCAAGACCAUGAGUUUCUUCAAUAGGUGAUGAAUUAAGAUCAUAUAUUUCUUCGACAGGCGGUAAAUUAAGACCAUGUAUUUCUUCAAUAGGAGGUAAAUUCUUAACAUCUUCAGCUUUAAUACCUUUUUCUUUCAUAGAUUUCUUUGCCUCUUGCAUAUCUUCAGGACUGAGAAAUAGAACACCUCUCUUCGGAGUUGGUUUAGGAAUAGGCUCAGGAAGUGUCCAAUUAUUUUCAUUUGUCAACAUAUUAUUCAAUAGAAUUUCAGCUUCAUCCGGUGUUCUUUCCCUGAAAACAAAGCCAGCACAACUAUCCAGGUAAUCUCUGGAAGCAUCGGUUAGUCCAUUAUAAAAGAUAUCAAGCAUUUCAUUUUUCUUAAGAGGAUGAUCAGGCAAAGCAUUAAGUAAUUGGAGAAGCCUCCCCCAAGCUUGUGGGAGACUCUCUUCUUCAAUUUGCACAAAAUUAUAUAUAUAUCCCUUAAAGCAGCUUAUUUCCUAUGAGCAGGGAAAUAUUUAGCAGAGAAGUAAUACAUCAUAUCCUGGGGACUACGCACACAACCAGGAUCAAGAGAAUUAAACCAUAUCUUAGCAUCACCCUUUAAUGAGAACGGAAAUAUUGUAAGGAUAUAUAGGUAGCGAGAUUUCUCAUCAUUAGUGAACAGGGUGGCUAUAUCAUUUAAUUUAGUAAGACGUGCCACAAUAGUUUCAGAUUCAUAGCCAUGAAAAGGAUCAGAUUCAACCAAAGUAAUUAUAUCAGGAUCAACAGAGAAUUCAUAAUCCUUAUCAGUAACACAGAUAGGUGAAGUAGCAAAAGCAGGGUCAGGUUUCAUUCUAGCAUUAAGAGAUUGCUGCUUCCAUUUAGCUAAUAAUUUAUUAACAUCAUAUCUAUCUUUGCAAGCAAAAAUAGCUUUAUCAAUUUCUUCAUCCAUAACAUAGCCCUCAGGAACAACAGGCAAUUCAUAGUUAUUAGGGGGAGAGUCUUCAUCAUCACUUUAAUCGAUAUUAUCAGUUUCAAUAAUUUCAUUCUCUCUAGCCCUAGCAAGUUGUUCAUCAAGAAAUUCACCAAGUGGCACAGUAGUAUGAGCAUAGAAGUAGUUUCAUCAUAAGUAUCAUGCAUAGCAGAAGUGGCAUCAUCAAUAACAUGCGACAUAUCAGGACGAAUAGCAGAAGAAGGUUUAGGUGUCGCAAGCUUACUCAAAACAGAAGGUGAAUCAAGUGCAGAGCUAGAUGGCAGAUCCUUACCUCCCCUCAUAGUUGAGGGAUAGAUUUUUGUUUUCUCGUCUUUCAAGUUCUUCAUAGUGACCAGAAGAUAUAAAUCCCAAGUGACUCAAAGAAUAGAGCUAUGCUCCCCGGCAACGGCGCCAGAAAAUAGUCUUGAUAACCCACAAGUAUAGGGGAUCGCAACAGUUUUCGAGGGUAGAGUAUUCAACCCAAAUUUAUUGAUUCGACACAAGGGGAGCCAAAGAAUAUUCUCAAGUAUUAGCAGUUGAGUUGUCAAUUCAACCACACCUGGAUAACUUAGUAUCUGCAGCAAAGUAUUUAGUAGCAAAGUAAUAUGGAAGUAACGGUAAUGAUAGCAAAAGUAAUAUUUUUGGGUUUUGUAGUGAUUGUAACAGUAGCAAUGGAAAAGUAAAUAAGCGAGGAACAAUAUAUGAAAAGCUCGUAGGCAUUGGAUCGGUGAUGGAGAAUUAUGCCGGAUGCGGUUCAUCAUGUAACAAUCAUAACAUAGGGUGACACAGAACUAGCUCCAAUUCAUCAAUGUAAUGUAGGCAUGUAUUCCGAAUAUAGUCAUACGUGCUUAUGGAAAAGAACUUGCAUGACAUCUUUUGUCCUACCCUCCCGUGGCAGCGGGGUCCUAAUGGAAACUAAGGGAUAUUAAGGCCUCCUUUUAAUAGAGUACCGGAACAAAGCAUUAGCACAUAGUGAAUACAUGAACUCCUCAAACUACGGUCAUCACUGGGAGUGGUCCCGAUUAUUGUCACUUCGGGGUUGCCGGAUCAUAACACAUAGUAGGUGACUAUAGACUUGCAAGAUAGGAUCAAGAACUCACAUAUAUUCAUGAAAACAUAAUAGGUUCAGAUCUGAAAUCAUGGCACUCGGGCCCUAGUGACAAGCAUUAAGCAUAGCAAAGUCAUAGCAACAUCAAUCUCAGAACAUAGUGGAUACUAGGGAUAAAACCCUAACAAAACUAACUCGAUUACAUGAUAGAUCUCAUCCAACCCAUCACCGUCCAGCAAGCCUAUGAUGGAAUUACUCACGCACGGCGGUGAGCAUCAUGAAAUUGGUGAUGGAGGAUGGUUGAUGAUGACGACGGCGAUGGAUUCCCCUCUUCGGAGCCCCGAACGGACUCCAGAUCAGCCCUCCCGAGAGGUUUUAGAGCUUGGCGGCGACUCUGUAUCGUAAAACGCGAUGAAUCCUUCUCUCUGAUUUUUUUCUCCCCGAAAGUGAAUAUAUGGAGUUGGAGUUGAGGUCGGUGGAGCGUCAGGGGGCCCACGAGGCAGGGGGGCGCGCCCUGGUGGGGCACGCACGCCCCCCACCCUCGUAGACAGGGUGUGGGCCCCCUGACGUCGAUUUUUCUUUCAGUAUUUUUAAUAUUUUCCAAAAUGAUGUUCUGUGGAGUUUCAGGUCAUUCCGAGAACUUUUGUUUCUGCACAUAAAUAACACCAUGGAACGUAUCACUAUGCUUCUCCUAGAUACAUCUUGCGUGAUCGUAGGCAAAUUUUUUGAAAUACUACGUUCCCCAACAGUGGCAUCCGAGCCAGGUCUAUGCGUAGAUGUUAUAUGCACGAGUAGAACACAAAGAGUUGUGGGUGAUAAUAGUCAUAUUGCUUACCAGCAUGUCAUACUUUGAUUCGGCGGUAUUGUUGGAUGAAGCGGCCCAGACCAACAUUACAUGACCGCGUUCAUGAGACUAGUUCUACCGCCGUGCUUCGCACACAGGUGGCUAGUGGGUGUAUGUUUCUCCAUCUUUAGUUGAAUCGAGUGUGACUACACCCGGUCCUUGUUGAAGGUUAAAACAGCACACUUGACGAAAAAUCGUUGUGGUUUUGAUGCGUAGGUAAGAACGGUUCUUGCUAAGCCCGCCGCAGCCACGUAAAACUUGCAACAACAAAGUAGAGGACAUCUAACUUGUUUUUGCAGGGCUUGCUGUGAUGUGAUAUGGUCAAGACAUGAUGAUAUAUAAAUUGUUGUAUGAGAUGAUCAUGUUUUGUAAAAGUUAUCGGCAACUGGCAGGAGCCUUAAAUCACCAUGUAAUUGCUUUACUUUAUCACUAAGCGGUAGCGAUAGUCAUAGAGAUCAAGGUGUCAAGCCGGUGACGAUGGUGAUCAUGACGGUGCUCUGGAGAUGGAGAUCAAAGGCACAAGAUGAUGAUGGCCAUAUCAUAUCACUUAUAUUGAUUGCAUGUGAUUUUUAUCCUUUAUGCAUCUUAUUUUGCUUAGUACGGCGGUAGCAUUAUAAGAUGAUCUCUCACUAAAUUUCAAGGUAUAAGUGUUCUCCCUGAGUAUGCACCGUUGCGACAGUUCGUCGUGCCGAGACACCACGUGAUGAUCGGGUGUGAUAAGCUCUACGUUCACAUACAACGGGUGCAAGCCAGUUUUGCACACGCAGAAUACUCGGGUUAAACUUGACGAGCCUAGCAUAUGCAGUUAUGGCCUCGGAACACUGAGACGGAAAGGUCGAGCGUGAAUCAUAUAGUAGAUAUGAUCAACAUAGUGAUGUUCACCAUUGAAAACUACUCCAUCUCACGUGAUGAUCGGACAUGGUUUAGUUGAUUUGGAUCACAUAAUCACUUAGAUGAUUAGAGGGAUGUCUAUCUAAGUGGGAGUUCUUAAGUAAUAUGAUUAAUUGAACUUUAAUUUAUCAUGAACUUAGUACCUGAUAGUAUUUUGCAUGUCUAUGUUGUUGUAGAUCAAUGGCCCGUGCUACUGUUCCUUUGAAUUUUAAUGCGUUCCUAGAGAAAGCUAAGUUGAAAUAUGAUGGUAGCAACUACACGGACUGGGUCCGUAACUUGAGGAUUAUCCUCAUUGCUGCACAGAAGAAUUACGUCCUGGAAGCACCGCUAGGUGUAAGACCCGCUGCAGGAGCAAUGCCAGACGUUGUGAAUGCCUAGCAGAGCAAAGCUGACGACUACUCGAUAGUUCAGUGUGCCAUGCUUUACGGCUUAGAACCGGGACUUCAAUGACAUUUUGAACGUCAUGGAGCAUAUGAGAUGUUCCAGGAUUUGAAGUUAAUAUUUCAAGCAAAUGACCGGAUUGAGAGAUAUGAAGUCUCCAAUAAGUUCUACAGCUAUAAAAUGGAGGAUAAUAGUUCUGUCAGUGAACAUAUACUCAAAAUGUUUGGGUACCACAAUCACUUAACUCAGCUGGGAGUUAAUCUUCCGGUUGAUAGUGUCAUUGACAAAGUUCUUCAAUCACUGCCACCAAGCUACAAAAGCUUCGUGAUGAACUAUAAUAUGCAAGGGAUGGAUAAGACAAUUCCCGAGCUCUUCGCGAUGCUAAAGGCUGUGGAGGUAGAAAUCAAGAAGGAGCAUCAAGUGUUGAUGGUCAACAAGACCACUAGUUUCAAGAAAAAGGGCAAAGGGAAGAAGGGGAACUUCAAGAAGAACAGCAAGCAAGUUGCUGCUCAAGUGAAUAAGCCCAAGUCUGGACCUAAGCCUGAGACUGAGUGCUUCUACUACAAAGGGACUGGUCACUAGAAUCGGAACUGCCCCAAGUAUUUGGCGGAUAAGAAGGAUGGCAAAGUGAAAGGUAUAUUUGAUAUACAUGUUAUUGAUGUGUACCUUACUAAUGCUCGCAGUAGUGCCUGGGUAUUUGAUACUGGUUCUGUUGCUCAUAUUUCCAACUCGAAACAGGGGCUACGGAUUAAGCGAAGAUUGGCUAAGGAGGAGGUGACGAUGCGCAUGGGAAAUGGUUCGAAAGUCGAUGUGAUUGCCGUCGGCACGCUACCUCUACAUCUACCUUCAGGAUUAGUUUUAGACCUGAAUAAUUGUUAUUUGGUGCCAGCGUUAAGCAUGAAAAUUAUAUCUGGAUCUUGUUUCAUGCGAGACGAUUAUUCAUUUAAAUCAGAGAAUAAUGGUUGUUCUAUUUAUAUGAGUAAUAUCUUUUAUGGUCAUGCACCCUUGAUGAGUGGUCUACUUUUGUUGAAUCUCGAUAGUAGUGACACGCAUAUUCAUAGUAUUGAAGCCAAAAGAUAUAAGUUUAAUAAUGAUAGUCCAACUUAUUUGUGGCACUGCCGUUUGGGUCAUAUUGGUGUAAAGCGCAUGAAGAAACUCCAUGCUGAUGGGCUUUUGGAAUCACUUGAUUAUGAAUCACUUGAUGCUUGCAAACCAUGCCUCAUGGGCAAGAUGACUAAGACUCCGUUCUCCAGAACAAUGGAGCGAGCUACAGACUUGUUGAAAAUAAUACAUACUUAUGUAUGCGGUCCGAUGAGUGUUGAGGCUCGCGGCGGGUAUCGUUAUUUUCUUACCUUCACAGAUGAUUUGAGCAGAUAUGGGUAUAUCUACUUGAUGAAACAUAAGUCUGAAACAUUUGAAAAGUUCAAAGAAUUUCAUAGUAAAGUGGAAAAUCAUCGUAACAAGAAAAUAAAGUUUCUAUGAUCUGAUCAUGGACGAGAAUAUUUGAGUUACGAGUUUGGUCUUCACUUGAAACAAUGCAGAAUAGUUUCGCAACUCACGCCACCCGGAACACCACAAUGUAAUGGUGUGUCCGAACGUCGUAACCGCACUUUAUUAGAUAUGGUGCGAUCUAUGAUGUCUCUUACUGAUUUACCGCUAUCGUUUUGGGGUUAUGCUUUAGAGACGGCUGCAUUCACGUUAAAUAGGGCACCAUCUAAAUCCGUUGAGACGACACCAUAUGAACUGUGGUUUGGCAAGAAACCCAAGUUGUCGUUUCUUAAAGUUUGGGGCUGCGAUGCUUAUGUGAAAAAGCUUCAACCUGAUAAGCUCGAACCCAAAUUGGACAAAUGUGUCUUCAUAGGAUACCCAAAAGAGACUGUUGGGUACACCUUCUAUCACAGAUCCGAAGGCAAGAUAUUCGUUGCUAAGAAUGGAUCCUUUCUAGAGAAUGAGUUUCUCUCGAAAGAAGUGAGUGGAAGGAAAGUAGAACUUGAUGAGGUAAUUGUACCUGCUCCAUUAUUGAAAAGUAGUUCAUCACAGAAAUCAGUUCAUGUGAUUCCUACACCAAUUAGUGAGGAGGCUAAUGAUAAUGAUCAUGAAACUUCUGAUCAAGUUACUACCGAACCUCGUAGGUCAACCAGAGUAAGAUCCGCACCAGAGUGGUACGGUAAUCCUGUUCUGGAAGUCAUGUUACUUGACCAUGACAAACCUAUGAACUAUGAGGAAGCGAUGAUGAGCCCAGAUUCCACAAAAUGGCUCGAGGCCAUGAAAUCUGAGAUGGGAUCCAUGUAUGAGAACAAAGUGUGGACUUUGGUUGACUUGCCCGAUGAUCGGCAAGCCAUAGAGAAUAAAUGGAUCUUCAAGAAGAAGACUGACGCUGACGGUAAUGUUACUGUCUACAAAUCUCGACUUGUUGCGAAAGGUUUUCGACAAGUUCAAGGAGUUGACUACGAUGAGACCUUCUCACCUGUAGCGAUGCUUAAGUCCGUCUGAAUCAUGUUAGCAAUUGCCGCAUUUUAUGAUUAUGAAAUUUGGAAAAUGGAUGUCAAAACUGCGUUCCUGAAUGGAUUUCUGGAAGAAGAGUUGUAUAUGAUGCAACCCGAAGGUUUUAUCGAUCCAAAGGAUGCUAACAAAGUGUGCAAGCUCCAGCGAUCCAUAUAUGGACUGGUGCAAGCAUCUCGGAGUUGGAAUAAACGUUUUGAUAGUGUGAUCAAAGCAUAUGGUUUUAUACAGACUUUUGGAGAAGCCUGUAUUUACAAGAAAGUGAGUGGGAGCUCUGUAGCAUUUCUAAUAUUAUAUGUGGAUAACAUAUUGUUGAUUGGAAAUGAUAUAGAAUUUUUGGAUAGCAUAAAAGGAUACUUGAGUAAGAGUUUUUCAAUGAAAGACCUCGGUGAAGCUGCUUAUAUAUUGGGCAUCAAGAUCUAUAGAGAUAGAUCAAGACGCUUAAUUGGACUUUCACAAAGCACAUACCUUGAUAAAGUUUUGAAGAAGUUCGAAAUGGAUCAAACAAAGAAAGGGUUCUUGCCUGUGUUACAAGGUGUGAAAUUGAGGCAGACUCAAUGCCCGACCACUGGAGAAGAUAGAGAGAAAAUGAAAGUCAUUCCCUAUGCUUCAGCCAUAGGUUCUAUCAUGUAUGCAAUGCUGUGUACCAAACCUGAUGUGUGCCUUGCUAUUAGUUUAGCGGGGAGGUACCAAAGUAAUCCAGGAGUGGAUCACUGGACAGCGGUCAAAAACAUCCUGAAAUACCUGAAGAGGACUAAGGAUAUGUUUCUCGUUUAUGGAGGUGGCAAAGAGCUCGUCGUAAAUGGUUACGUCGAUGCAAGCUUUAACACUGGUCCGGAUGACUCUAAGUCACAAACCGGAUACUUAUUUUUAUUGAACGGUGGAGCUGUCAGUUGGUGCAGUUCCAAGCAAAGCGUCGUGGCGGGAUCUACGUGUGAAGCGGAGUACAUAGCUGCUUCGGAAGCAGCAAAUGAAGGAGUCUGGAUGAAGGAGUUCAUAUCCGAUCUAGUUGUCAUACCUAGUGCAUCGGGUCCAAUAAAAAUCUUUUGUGACAAUACUCGUGCAAUUGCCUUGGCAAAGGAAUCCAGAUUUCACAAGAGAACCAGGCACAUCAAGGGAUGCUUCAAUUCCAUCCGCGAUCAAGUCAAGGAGGGAGACAUAGAGAUUUGAAAGAUAUAUACGGAUUUGAAUGUUGCAGACCCAUUGACUAAGCCUCUCUCACGAGCAAAACAUGGUCAACACCAAGACUCCAUGGGUGUUAGAAUCAUUACUAUGUAAUCUAGAUUAUUGACUCUAGUGCAAGUGGGAGACUGAAGGAAAUAUGCCCUAGAUGCAAUAAUAAAGUUGUUAUUUAUAUUUCCUUAUAUCAUGAUAAAUGUUUAUUAUUAAUGCUUGAAUUGUAUUAACCGGAAACUUAGUACAUGUGUGAAUACAUAGACAAACAGAGUGUCAUUAGUAUGCCUCUACUUGACUAGCUCGUUAAUAAAAAAUGGUUAAGUUUCCUAGCCAUAGACAUGAGUUGUCAUUUGAUGAACGGGAUCACAUCAUUAGAGAAUGAUGUGAUUGACAAGACCCAUCCGUUAGCUUAGCACUAUGAUCGUUUAGUUUGUUGCUAUUGCUUUCUUCAUGACUUAUACAUGUUCCUAUGACUAUGAGAUUAUGCAACUCCCGAAUACCGGAGGAACACUUAGUGUGCUAUCAAACGUCACAACGUAACGGGGUGAUUAUAAAGAUGCUCUACAGGUCUCUCCGAUGGUGCUUGUUGAGUUGGCAUAGAUCGAGAUUAGGAUUUGUCACUCCGAUUUUUGGAGAGGUAUCUUUGUGCCCUCUCGGUAAUGCUUAUCACUAUAAGCCUUGCAAGCAAUGUAACUAAUGAGUUAGUCACGGGAUGAUGCAUUACGGAACGAGUAAAGAGACUUGCCGGUAACGAGAUUGAACUAGGUAUAGUGAUACCGACGAUCCAAUCUCGGGCAAGUAACAUACCGAUGACAAAGGGAACAACGUAUGUUGUUAUGCGGUUUGACCGAUAAAGAUCUUCAUAGAAUAUGUGGGAGCCAAUAUGAGCAUCCAGGUUUCGCUAUUGGUUAUUGACCGGAGAUGAGUCUCGGUCAUGUCUACAUAGUUCUCGAACCCGUAGGGUCCGCACGCUUAACGUUCGAUGACGAUCGGUAUUAUGAGUUUAUGUGUUUUGAUGUACCGAAGGUAGUUCGGAGUCCCGGAUGAGAUCACGGACAUGACGAGGAGUCUCGAAAUGGUCGAGAUGUAAAGAUCGAUAUAUUGGAAGGCUAUAUUCGGACAUCGGAAAGAUUCUGAGUGGUUCGGGUAUUUUUCGAAGUACCGGAGAGUUACGGGAAUUCGUCGGGGGAAGUAUUGGGCCUUCAUGGGCCUUAGUGGAAAGGAGAGAAGGGCCACAAGGGGAGGCCGCCCCCCCAUGGGCUGGUCCGAAUUGGACCAGGGAGGAGGCGGUGCCCCCUCUUUCCUUCUCCCUCUCCUACUCCUUCCCUCUCUCCCCUCUUGGAAAAGGAAGGGGACUCCAACUAGGAUUGGGAAUCCUAGUUGGACCCCCCUAUAGGCGCUCCCCUCCUAGGCCGGCCUCCUCUUCCCCCCUCCUUUAUAUACGUGGCCAGGGGGCACCCCAUAGACACACAAGUUCAUCUUUAGCCGUGUGCGGUGCCCCCCUCCACAGUUUUACACCUCGGUCAUAUCGUCGUAGUGCUUAAGCGAAGCCCUGCGCUGGUAACUUCAUCACAACCGUCACCACGCCGUCGUGCUGACGAAACUCUCCCUCGGCCUCAGCUGGAUCAAGAGUUCGAGGGACGUCACCGAUCUGAACGUGUGCAGAUCGCGGAGGUGCCGUGCGUUCGGUACUUGAUCGGUUGGAUCGCGAAGACGUUCGACUACAUCAACCGCGUUACUAAACGCUUCCGCUUUCGGUCUAUGAGGGUACGUGGACACACUCUCCCCGCUCAUUGCUAUGCUUCUCGUAGAUAGAUCUUGCGUGAUCGUAUGCAAAAAAUUUGAAAUACUACGUUCCUCAACAACAAAAGCUUAACAUCUAAAGCUGGAGGCCCCAAGCAAGCCACAUACUGGGUUUGGAGCACAAACCGGUCCUACGCACUCUCAUGUGUCGCCGCCACCAUCUUCCACCAAUCCAUCUUCAGAGCGGAAACUAAUGCACCGACCUUGCCAGACCUCUCUGCCAUCGACGCCACCCUCAGUGGCGGAGCUUCAUGGGGGCCAACCUGGCCGGUGGCCGCCCCAGCUCACAGGAAAAUAUAUGUAUAUAUCUUAGUUUUAGGCCUAUUUUUUCACCAAAAAUCAGCCUGUAGUGAUUUUGCUUCCCCCCCACAGCCAUUAGCCCCUCCAUGAUUCUUGCCCAAGCUCCGCCAGCGUGAGUCCAUCUUCGCGCAUCAGACUCCGAAUUUCCACUGCACAACGCCGCCGAGAUCCGUCGUCUUUGAUGCGGUAAAUGAAAAACCACUCCACCACUUGUCUCCUCCAUCCAGCCGCUGCUCCAAAGACAAUGCCCCCAUGAGGGAGAACGACGCCUAAUCGUUCGAUCCGGGAACCCCGGGUCUAGGUUUUCGCCUGGAGCAGCGCAAGCGAGUCGACGGUAGAUACAGUGGUGAUGUCUUCACCAAGAUAACGACGUGAAAACGCCGCCAUCGCUCGCCAUGACCGGAGUGAUAGCAUGGUUUUCACCGGCAGCAUCGUCUUCCCACUCGGCCCCCGUAUUGGACGUGUGAUGCCACAACCAGCUGGCUGACCACCUCCGGCGAAGGAGGUGGCCACCACCGCCACGCCCAAGGUCAGAGCCCCCAUGUCCUCGUGUUGCGGAUCGAGCCCGGGAGCAGUCCAUUGACGGAGUAUGGAAGAUACAUGUCAGCAGCAUGCAUGGCACAUCGAAGCCCAUCUGGGCCCAGAUCGGACGCCCUAGCCGUCGCCGUUGGACAUCUCGCCAUACGCCGCCGCCUCCUACUGGACCUGGCCGCCGCCGCCCCGCACCACUGGUGCCGCCACGCAGCCACCGCCCAAUCCCGCCAUCGGCGUGACUGUACGCAGCCCCGCCACCAUGCACUGCGCUAGAACAAGGCGUCCCCGCCGAGGUGCCGUGCCUGCGCCGCAGCAGAUCGCGCGAGGAGGAAGGAGAUCCCCGCCUCCGCCAACGCCGGCCGGGCUUAGCCCGGCGGCGACGAGGGAAAGUUAGAGAAGCGAGGGGGCGGGGUGGCGGCCCGAUAGGUUUCGCCCUGUCUCUCUUAGGAGAGACGGGAUGAAACGUUUCCUAGGCGAGAGCGAUAGCGGUCAAAUCAUGCUAAUCUUGUCAUUAAGGGUCAAAACAGCGAUUUUGGCCAAGUGCCCAUGUUGCCACCCUGAGGAGGGGCAGUUGUGGGCCUAUAUUCAAUGAAGAUAUUUUAUUUGGCUGUUUUCAUUGCGAUAUUCUUUUUCUUUCAAUCUUCUUCGGUGGAAUGUGAUACUUACAAUCAUGAUCUACUCGAGUUUCCUGUAGUGAAAUCAAGUUAUUUUUCGACUGAUUAAUAAUUAUUACCUGUACUAGUAAUAUUACACACACCACGUACCAAGUUACGGUAAUUUUCUCUUGUUUCUUGCAGUUCACAAGUUCGCUUAGGUUUGCUUUUGCCUUCAAAAUAAGAGACCAUGCAUAGCUUUCCUCGUCCACGAGCAUAUUGGCCGAAAUGGAUUAGCAGGAUGUGGGUUUAUGGUGGGGUUCAAGGUUGAGUUGGCUGCACCUUUUCCUGUUCGGGCUCCCUCAAAGUUUCCCUCGAUUUAUGGGUCCAGAUAUCCUUUAAUCCACUAAGCUCCCUAGGAUUGAAGCUCUCCCAGUCAAUUGUGGGCGUCGAUUUGGUGGUUGGCCCCAUUUUGAUUGGGUCAUGACACUGGAGUUACUCAAGGGUGGGUGGUCGGACGGGGCCCGCUGUUGAGUGUGAGGGGCGCUUUGUGGUCCACCAUGGCCAAGGCUGUCGCGUGGCGCUGCGGGUGGUACCUGGGAGCAUGCAUGUCGGCGCGGCGUCCCCUAAGGCUCUGGAUUGGAGGUGUGGUGAUUUGGAAAGCGGUAGGAGCUGUCGGCGGGGUGAUUUGGGUGGUGUUUUGCCGCCGGUGCAUUUUCGUGCGGGCCGUACUUCCGUGGUGGCGCCGCCAUUAUAGGGUUUCCCUUUCCGGCGGAGUGGCAUGCAGGCAUUGUUUCUAGAGAGCUUCGCUGCCGGUUCGUCUUUGGGCGGGCGUGCAACAUACGCUCCUUCAUCCUCAGCUGUUCCAUCGUCCAGACGGCCUAAAAGUUUCUUUCCCAUCACUUAAUCUUGUGUUUUGAUGCAGAGGCUGGCGGUUUCAACCUCCUUUUCUAGAAAAAAAAAACUUAAUCUUCCGUUGUUUCUGUUUGAUGCAGAGGUCGCUUGAGAAGAGGCAAUUUGGGGUGCUUUGACGCCGCUUCAUCUAGGUUGUGCUGCUGUUUCAUCUAGGUUCUGCCGCCACUCUGUCUGGCUCUUCAGUGCGGCCCUUCUUGCUUCGUCCCAAUGGUGGGUCGGGCUGCUGAGCAUUCCUGCUGCUCUCCCCUCUCCGUGCAAGUGCUUAUGGGGCCUUUCCUUGUUGAUUGCUAUCAUGUGCCAGAGGUGUGUUUAGGGAUUUUAUGUGUGGGGGCAUUGAAGGCGUUUGUCUGCUCGCUAACUGUAGGAGGCAGGCGAAACUACAACAGAUUGGCAGAUUAGCGACUUGGCCCUCCGAGCAACAAAGUCAGCUCAGUUGGUUCAUCUUUCUCGCUUAUUGGUCAGAUUCUGAAUCCAGAUUCAGCUAUUUUGGUUCAUAUUCUAUUGAUUUGGUACGCACAUCUACGUUGAUGUAUCAACUCUACUCCAUAAAUACGGAUACAAAGUGUUUGAUGGUAGUUUUCUUUGAUAGUUUUGUGUUGUCAUUGCUUCCAGUCACCAGUUUUUGAAUUUAAUGGUGAAUACUUAUCCAUUAAAUUACAAAUUCCUUCAAGUGUUGCAUUCUCUAUGCAAAGAUAAAUGAUGUCUGCCUGAGAUUUGGAUCUCUCUGAUCUUAAAUUAUUUGGAAUCGAGUAGUAAGUUAUUUAUCUACCAACUCUCCUACUGGAGUUAGCAUAUAUUAUUGUAUAAAUUUAACUAUUUAAGAGCACAUGAAUUGUGCUGAUGAAGAACUUAGGAUAGAGGGAAUGCAGAAUUUACUAAAGUUUGAAGAAACUGCAUGUUGGUUUCUUCUUUUUGUUGUUCUGAAAUUGCUGCUCUUGUUGGAUUGUUCUGUGUUGUACCUAAAUCAAACUAAACAAUUAUUAUAUAAUUCUAUAGACCAUAUUCUUAAUUUUGGGUCAUGUCUAGGGCACUAGGAAUCAUUCCCAUAUAUUUAUAGUUUGGUACUCUUGAGCUGGUCCAUGACAGUGCUUCUGUCAUAUAUUACUCUUGUGGGUUACUAUAUUGGAAGGGGGGUUAUUGUGAGGCAGAAUCGAGGGGACUGGGAAUUUCUACCAGUAUUAAACUAAAAGAUACUUCCUUUAUUUUUCUUCUCAUUGAUCAGCUCUAGAGAUGUAUCGAUGCACAUACCCAAGGUAGUUUUCUAAAAAUUACAGCAUGGUUCGCUUUCAUUGCUCUAUGGGUAUAACUUUUAUAGAUAUGAUCCCUGUUUUUUUUUUUUCAAAAUUGCCGUGCUUUUGUAUUCAGGUUGGAAACAGUAGAGCAGCAAGCCUGAGGUGUCUUCUUUUGUGAUGCACAUGUUCUCUGAUUAAGCAAAUGUCAAGUGGCCCUCUUGAUGAUGAUGAUGACUCCAGAAGGCUAGAAGGCUAUGCACUGUUAUUUUUUUUUCAUACAAACUAGAGAUUAUUAGCAUCAUUGUAUUCCAAUUUCAUGCUCGGUAAUUUACACUAGCAUUUGUAACGAAUAGACAACCAUUGUUUUCCCAUUUUGAUCUCGAUGCACAUGCCAUUGUCUGAUACUAAAACGCCAGGGAGAAACCGGCGCAGCAAAGCGCGCAAUCUCUUCUAGUUCAGAUUACUCCUAACGAAAUUGAUGAGCCACGGAUGGCUAAAAGUGUCAGAACCUUCGUGUGUAAACAUAUACGGACGGUUUGGUAAUCCGCGUUGCUCUUACUACUAUUAGAACCAAAAAUAAAUAAAACUAUAGUACAUUUUGGUAUAGCCACAAUGGAGAGUAACAUACACUAGUAACAUACAUAUAUCGCUAGACUAUGUUACUACCUUCAUAGUGUGGUAUCAUGCAAAGUUUCAUUUAUUAGGUUAUAGACUCAUACUAUUGCAUUGGGACAUGUGAUGUUACAGUAACUAGCUAAGGCUGGUCAUAGUGGGAGUAACAUAGGUAGUAAAGCAAAAAGGAUGAUGUGUCAAGUAAUUAAUGAGGAGAGAGGCAAAUAGAGUAACAUAAUAUGUUACCAUCACAUAGCGCUUUCCAAUGCAAAAUGAGUCUACAAAGCAAUAAAUGAAGAUUUAUAUGUUAUCACACUUAUGUUAGUACCCACUAUGAAGGUAGUAACAUAGACUAGUAACAUGUGCAUGUCAUUAGUCUAAGUUACUCCCCACUAUGACUAGCCUAAGUCACUGAAACCAUCCCUCUCCUCAUUACAAUUCAUUGCCACAUAAGCAAGUUUACUGAGUUGGACUCGAUGUUACUGUUGAAAUUAUUCUCGCUGUGGCUAAGAGAUAUUUUAUCAUAGUUUAUCACGAGAGCGUAGGAGUGGAAUAGACUAGUCGUAUGCUUAGUCGGCGAAUGGCUGUAUAUAUGCUCGAUUAACGCAAUGGAGCCAUUAUUACAGUGUGCAUGGGAUCUAAUGACACUACAGGUCGAGGUCAACCCAAAGACUUAAGACACACUCUGGGGUAUGAGAAAGCUCGGAUUAAACUAAGCUCGCGCAUUAAAGCGCGUUCAGAAACGAGAUCACAUCACGCUUCACUUGUACUAAAUCUUCGGGUUGACCUCGAGUGCCAUUAAGUCCCACGCACACAUACUAUACUAGUAGCUCCGAGGUCAGUGAGGGAGGAUCAGUGACCACCAUUAUUCAGUAGAGCUGAGUGCUCAAGCCAGUACAAGAGCAGCCCGGCUGCGAGAUGAAAAAGGCGAGGAGGAACGAGAGCGGCAAGAAGCUUGCGAGCAGAGCAGGAGCAAGGGCCAUCGUGUGGCUUCUGCUUCCUAUCCUCGUCUUCGUCCUGCUCAAUGCCGAUUACAUGCCCCAGGUUCCCCGACGUAAGUCCUCUCGAUUAUAAUCAAAACUCUUUUUCGAGUGUUCAUCUGAUCUAUGUACGCGUGUGCGCUCUUCUUCGAUUCAUCUUCCCAAGAAGAAGAGUAGUACUGUUGGUCCAUAGUAAGCUGUAACAACGAUUCGACAUAUUUGUUGCAGCAUGAGUAUGUAUGUAUUGCCCAUGAGCUUGAUCAUCUUCGAUAAAAUGCUUGAGUUUUUGGAUUCACCAAGAAUUAAACAACUGUUCAAAGUUGGGUCUACUGAUUUUUUCCACAUGCAUGCACGCCAGCCAAUGAAUCAAAUCAAUCCCUUGCUUUGAAGUUGACAAGAUCUCGAUCCGGAUCAACAUUUUAGUGAUACUUUUAAGGGCGCGUACGUCUCGAGACAUCGGUUUUGAUGUUCUCCGCAGCGCGUAGUUCGAUGUCGGCAGCUUUACAUGUAAAAUCUACAGCUGAACAUGAAUUUCCUCCAUGCAUGGUUUGCAGUUACAGGGACCAGCGUUACCGAAGCUGCGGAGUAUUUUCGACAAUCGACUCAUAAGGUUCCGUCUUCAGGUGAGCGGAGGGAAAGCGUAUGCACUCUGGAUUGUUAACGUGAAAUCCAUGCGAUUAACUUCCCGCUACGUCCUCUUUCGCCAUCACAGGUAUAGAGGAUACAAUAUGGCAGCAGCAGGAGCGACUACUACAUGAUGUAGCCAAGUUCAGAGCUGAGCAUGGUACUCAAUCUUUGACCGAGCUACAGUAGAGAAUCUUGAGCUCUCUAAGUAAAUCAUCAAUUGGCGCUAACAACAAUGGUAUAUGGAUCCUUCAUUUAAUUCAGAUUCGGUCGUCGAAGCACCACCUUCUCGCGAAUCCAGCCACGAGAUGGCCGGCAAGCUUGUCGGUGCGGACAGAGGUAAUUUUAUUCUUUUGCCGACAUAGGCAAUUAAUUGCCUUUUUCUCUGCAGAACGGAAGUUAAGUUAAUUAGCUUGUCCAAAAGUCAAGUUUGGCUAAACGCGCAGUGCACCACACGUUCUAUAAUACUCGCUCCGUACCAAAUUAAUUGAAGUUCGUGUUUGAUCAUAAGCCAAUUUUUUCUAGGUUUGACCAAUUUUUGUAGUAAAAAAAAUUAACAUCUACAAUGUCAAAUUAGUUUUAUUCUAAAAUGCAUUUUCAUACUAUAUGUAUAUUUGAUGUUACAUAUUAGUACAUUUUCAUACUAUGGACUCUAAGAAAUUUGACUUAGAAUACAGCUUAAUUGAACUUCAUUAAUUUGGAAUGAAGUACUAGCAUUGGCUACAGAAUGCUUUACGUUUUGAGGUAUGGAGUAUGGGUUACAAUGAAAUAGAGCCUAGCUUUACGAAAGCUGAUCUCAACCAUUGUAUAAUCCAGGCAAUUUAACUCCGCCACUACGUCCUCUUUCGCCGUCCCAGGUACAGAGAGUGCAAUAUGGCAGCAGCAGAGGCAGCUACUGCGUGAGGUGGCCGAGCUAAGAGCUGCGCACAAAGAACUACUACUUGAGGUAGCCAAGUUAAGAGCUGCGCAUGGUACGCAACAAAACUCAUUCUUUAACCGAGCUUGAGAAGCUUCAGUUCUCUAAUGAAAUCCUCGAUUGAUGCUAAUAAUAAUAGUAUAUGCCCUGUGGUUGACCCUUCAUUUAAUUCAGAUUUGGCCGUACGAGCACCACCUUCUCCCGCAUCAACCGACGAGACGCCCGGCGAGGCCGUCGACGCACAACCUUCUCCCCCAUCAAGCGAUGAGACGCCCGGCGAGGCCGUCCAUGCACAACCUUCUCCCGCAUCAAGCAACCAGACACCCGGCGAGGCCGUCGAAGCACCACCUUCUCCCCCAUCAAGCGACGAGACGCCGGUCGAGGCCGUAGAAGCACCACCUUUUCCCACAUCAAAUGAAGAGACGCUAGGCAAGGCCAAUGAUGCACCACCUUCUCCCGCAUCAAAUGACGAGACGCACAGCGGCGCCGUGGAUGCACAACCUUCUCCCCCAUCAAGUGACGAGACGCCCGGCCAAGCCGUUGAAGCACCACCUUCUCCCACAUCAAGCGACGAGACCCCCGGCGGCGUCGUGGAUUCCAAGAGAGGUAAUUACUCCUUUUCUCUGGAGAACAGUUGUUAAGUUAGCUUUUUUUCAAAACUCAAGACUGACUAAAUUAAAUACUUCCUCCUUUCCAUAAUGUAAGACGUUUUUUGACACUACAGUAAUGUCAAAAACCGUCCUUUAUUAUGGGACAGAGGGAGUAGCAAACAAACUAAUGCUACUCCCUCCUUCCAAAUACACAAGGCUUAAUACAUUUUUACGGUAUCCUUCGAGGCUUUGACCAUUGGUUAGAAUAAUAGUAUAUGACGAUGUGUAUGUUCAAAAAAUAUAUCAUUGAACAAUAGUAUAUGAUGUGUAUGUUUAAAAAGGUAUAUCAACAAAUUCAUAUGUGGAAGAAGUUUUUUUUACUAAUGAUAUUUAAUUUCAUACAUCUUAUAUAUUAUUAAUUUUAUCAAUAAUAAAAGAAAAUCUAGAAAAAUGUGUUAGCCUUUUUAUGUUUGGACAGGCGGAGUAACACACACGGUAUUAGUUGUACAGUACCAAUAUGAAGUAUAUACUCUCUCUGGAAUAAAAUAAAAGUCAGCCACCUGGAUUUCAGGACUUCAAUUUGAUUAGUGAAAAAUGUGUUGUAUAUGAAAAAAAAUAUUUUCAACAUUCAAUCAUCCAAUGAACUUUGUAAACAUAUGUUGUUUUGGCAUAUUUUACAUGUUUUCGUAGUUAAAUUAACGACCUAAAUUCCCAUGCGAAACUUAUAUUCCACCCGUAAAGAGCACUGUAUAGUUAGGUGCUGCUCGUAAAUGAAAUAGUCUAACGGCAAUAGAAAAUUACCCAAUAGUGACCAAAGAAAACUUAAUAGAAGUUUCAAGCUAGUGUACUAAUCACUAACUCUUGUCUGCAAGAUACAGAUGUGGCAGCACCAAGAAGCAAGUCAACUUGCGAUUUCAGCGGUAAACGAAUGGACAUCUGCGCCAUGGAAGGUGAUCUCCGUAUGCAUGGCAAAGCCGCCACAGUGUAUGUGGUCUCAGCGUCUGGCGACAGCUACCGGCCAGAGAACGGGAUGGUGACGAUCCACCCCUACCCGCGCAAGAUGGAGACAGAGACGAUGCAGACUAUCAGGGAGGUGACCAUCCGCUGGAAUGACCCUCCAGGACCGGAUGCGCCACGGUGCACGGUGACGCACGAUGUCCCUGCGUUGGUCUUCUCCACCGGCGGCUACCUCAGCAACUUGUUCCACGCCAUGACCGACGGCAUCAUCCCUCUCUUCAACACCGUGCGGGAGUACAACGGCCGCGUCCAGCUCGUGGUCACCGACUACAACCACGAGUGGGUUGACAAGUUCCGAGACAUCCUCGCCGCGCUCUCCAACUACCCGGUCAUCGACUUCGAUGCCGACAACGAGGUACGUUGCUUCCCGUCGGUGCACGUCGGCACCGAGAGCCAUAAGGAGCUAGGGAUCAUCCCUGCCCUCUCCCGCAAGGGCUACACUAUGACGGACUUCCGGGACUUUCUCCGGUCGGUCUACUCGCUGAAGCGUGAGUGGUCGACCCCCGUAAACCGGGCCUCCGGCGACAGGCCUCGUCUCGCCAUGAUACUGCGGCGCAACUCGAGGACGUUCGCAAACGAGGCGGAGACCAUCGCAGCAGCCACGGAGGUCGGAUUCGAGGUGGUGCCGGCAGGGCCGGAGGCCAUGAGCGACAUGGCCCGGUUCGCGGAGGUGAUGAACUCGUGCGACGUGAUGGUGGGCGUGCAUGGUGCUGGGCUCGCCAACAUGGUGUUCCUCCCUCGCAACGCCACGGUGCUGCAGGUCGUCCCGUGGGGCGACCUGAGCUGGGCGUCCUUCAGUGCCUUCGGCGCGCCGACGGCUGACAUGGGGCUCCGGUACGUCAAGUACGAGGCCACCGCCGAGGAGACGACGCUCAAGUAUGUAUACCCGAGGGACCACGCCGUCUUCACCGACGUCCCCUCCAUAAACAAGCAAGGGUACAGUAUGACGUGGCGGAUCUUCCUCAACGGUCAGAACAUCACCCUCGACAUCGACCGCUUCAGAGGGGUGCUGCAGCAAAUCUACCAGAGUACUAUAAUGGCCGAUCCAGUCGUGGAAGCACUACCUCCUCCCAACGAGAUGCCCAGCGAGGCCGUCGAUGCGAACAAAGGUAACUAAUAACCUUUUCUGUGCAGAACUUGUGAGGCUCAGUUAGCUUGUUCGAAAGUCAAAAUCUGAAUAAAUUGAAUAUUGCAAUCUGUUGCAGAUCUCAAAAACGAGGAGAACGGGGGAGCAGAUGGUUCUUUGAUAAAACCAGGUACGUACAAAGUAUGUUGCAUAUUCAAGCGCUGGGUAUUUGCAUUCGUAUUUGGUUGGGCCACUCUGGCUAGCAAGGAGAAAACAUAUAAUUGUUGGCGAUAAUAGAGUUUGGUAGCAAACUAACUUACAAUACUAACAGACUUACUCGAAAAUAUAACUAAUAAAUAUUGUGUGCAUGAUGCAGAUGUGCCGGCACCAAGAAGCAAGUCAAGUUGCGACUUCCGCAAUGAACGCAUGGACGUCUGCGCCAUGGAAGGCGAUGUCCGUAUGCACGGCAAAGACGCCACCGUGUACGUGGUCUCAGCGUCCGACGACAGCUAUCGGCCAGAGAACGGGGUGUUGAUGAUCCACCCUUACACACGCAAGUGGGAGCCACAAACCAUGCAGACUGUCCGGGAGGUGAUCAUCCGCUGGAGCGACCCACCGGGACCAGAAGAGCCACGGUGCACGGUGACACAUGACGUCCCCGCGGUGGUCUUCUCCUCCGGCGGCUACCUCGCCAACUUCUUCCAUGCCAUGACUGAUGGCAUCAUCCCUUUGUUCAACACUGCGCGGGAGUACAAUGGCCGCGUCCAGCUCGUGGCCACCGACUACGACCCCAAGUGGAUUGGUAAGUUCCGGAAUAUCCUCGGCGCGCUCUCCAACUACCCGGUCAUCGACUUCGACGCCGACGAUGAGGUGCGUUGCUUCCCGUCGGUGCGCGUCGGCACCGAGAGCCAUAAGGAGCUAGGGAUCAUCCCUGCUCUAUCCCGCAAGGGCUACACGAUGACGGACUUCCGAGAGUUUCUCCGGUCGGCCUACUCGCUAAAGCGUGAGUGGUCGACCCCCGUAAACCGGGCCGCAGGCGACAGGCCUCGUCUCGUCAUGCUGCUGCGACGCAGGUCGAGGGAGUUCGCAAAUGAGGCGGAGGCCAUCGCAACUGCUACGGAGGUUGGCUUCGAGGUGGUCCCUGCGGGGCCGGAGGUCGUGAGCGACAUGGCCCAGUUCGCGGAGGUGGUGAACUCGUGCGACGUGAUCAUGGGCGUGCAUGGCGCAGGGCUCACCAACCUGGUGUUCCUCCCGCGCAAUGGCACGGUGCUGCAGGUCGUCCCGUGGGGCGACAUGAGGUGGGCGUCCUUCAGUGCCUUCGGCGCUCCGACCGCCGACAUGGGGCUCCGGUACGUCGAGUACGAGGCGACCGCCGAGGAGACGACGCUCAAGUACGUAUACCCGAGGGACCACGCCGUCUUCACCGACCCCCGCUCCAUACAGAAGCAGGGGUUCGGUGUGGCUUGGGGGACCUUCUUCAACGGCCAGAAUGUCACCCUCGACAUCAACCGCUUCAGAGGGGUCUUGCAGCAAAUCUACCAUGAUAGUGUGUUGCCCGAUCCUUCGCUUGAUUCAGCUCCGGUCGUGGAAGCACCACCCUCUCCCGGAUCAAGCGACGCCGUCGAUGCGAACAGAGGUAAUCAACUACCGUUUCUCUGCAGAACGGAGGUUCAGUUAGCUUGUUCAAAAGUCAAGUCUGACUAAAUUGAAUUUCUGUUGCAGAUCUCGGGAAUGAAAAAGGGCUCCAAGCCAUGAACGGGGGAGUAGAUGGUUCUUCGAUAAAAUCAGGUACGUGCAAAGUAUAGUGCAUAUUCAAGCGCUAUGUAUUCACAUUCGUAAUUUUGUUGAGGCAACGAGUUUCGCGAUAUAUACUAGAAUUUGGUAGCAAACGAACUAAUACUAACAGACAUUGCGUUGGUUGUACAUACAGUAGCAACAUAUAGAGUAUAUAAAAAGCAUCAGGGAGCUUGGAAUUUUUGCUAGCGAAAAUACAUUUUCUACAUCAUAAAAAAUUUGGAAAAAAAUACACAUAUAGUAUGAAAUUUAUGAACAUAUAUGUUCAUAUGUGAUGUACACACAAAAAACAAAUAUAUAGAUCACCCGCAAAAAAAGACAAAUAUAUUAGAUAAAAUUGGUUAAAUCUUUGUUACAUUUUGUGCCAUAAUUUUGUCUUCUUUUUGUAGCCU
RNAcentral lists this long non-coding RNA (80267 nucleotides) under Triticum aestivum (bread wheat). RNAcentral describes it as "long non-coding RNA (TAES_LNC004860)". Lineage: Eukaryota; Viridiplantae; Streptophyta; Magnoliopsida; Poales; Poaceae. The record is from RNAcentral.